UCGAAAAAUCGCAAAAUUUAUUUUCUAGAUACUUCAAAUACUCUAGAUCAACUCUAACGGAACCGAUCGUCGAUUUGAAAGUCCGAACAUCGAAAACGACUUGGAAGCACGGAGACCUCCGCGCUUCCAUAAGCAUACCAGCACAACUCUAUAAUACAUUAUUUUUAUUAUAAAAUUAUUAAUUGUAGUAUAUUAAUACAUAUUAUUUAUAUUUAAAUAUUAUAAUAAAUUUUAUAAUAAAUUAUAUUUAAAUAUUAUAAUAAAUUUUUUUUAUUAAAUUUAAGUUUAAGUAGAAUUUUUAAAAAAAUUAUACAUUUAUUAUAAUAAAUUAUUUUUAUUAAUCGUUUCUACUGUCACACUCCGGAUUACUCGUUUCUCCGAGCACGCCAACAGACCUGCCGUAUACAUAGAAAUUUUUCCUGUAUACGAAGCGAAAGCUGUACCUGUACAUGUAAUCAUACAACACUACAACCAGUAGUAUAGAACUGCUAAAACUAAAAGCAUAUAUAAAUAACACUGGUUCAACAUACAUACAUAGUAUCCAGAUACAAAACACUCGCUCCAGCGAGUUACAACAUCUGUACGUACAAGAACUUAAAAACUACAACAACCUGUAGCUGAUACUCCUCUAGUUCUGCAGCAAAACUGGAAGGGCUCUAACUCGCGAUACCCUUUCCACGAUCAGUCUCAGCAGUAGCAGCAGCCGCAACAGAAACCUCUGCAACAAAAAAUUCACAACUGGGCAUGAGAACUACUACAAAAAGAAGUAGUCCUCAGUGAGUACUGCUACCAACCUCAACGGCUCACCCACUAAGUCUACAGAUAAUAUGCUCAAUGAUAGUAAAGAACUGAAAACAAUCUACAGCUAUAUACCACUAUACUAUCAUGAUCUAACACUAACUAUCUGUAGAAUAAGGCCAGCUCUGACCCAAUCUCACCAGGGACUGUGAAUACACCCGCCCCAGGUACUGUGAAUAUACUCGUCCCGCCUGUCGAAACUAUACAGCUACCUCCACGCUAAGCCGUCCGUGGAGAGCAAGUCCAAUUAGGAAUUCUGGGUAUCCACCGCCCAUAAACUGUGGCGAUACAAACAAACUACGACUCAUAGAGCUAAAUCUGGUAGUUUUAACAUAUGACAGUGUAGAAUCGCCGAUUUUCUCCUAAGUCAUUUUUCAAGUCCAACAUGUAUAUUUAACUAACAUUUAAGCUCCAAAUUCAGAUUCCAUUAAGUAUGCAAAUCCACUAAUUUGAGCUAACUAACAUGAUACACAGUAAUCAACAUACAUGCCGACAACUAUAACUUAGAAGGAAAAUCGGUAAUUCCGGUAGCAUAACAUUCAACCCACCUCUAGCGCAAUUCCACGGCAGCGAGGAGGUCACGAAGUUGCUGGAAGUUUCAGCCGAAAUCACCCACAACCAGUAACUAAGUUACUCGAAGGAUCUAAAUAUAAAAAGAACACCAAAAAUACCAACAUUGCAUUAUAACCUCAAAUUUCAGCACUUAAGCUAAAACCUCCAAUUCCAAUGUUAAAACUCACCUAACAAUCUCCAAAUUAGGUGAGGAAGGUCUCAAAUCCAGUAGACUAUGAUGGAGUAUCACCCUCUGGUCUAAAAUCCAAUUUCCUCCAAAACUAGCAUCAAGAAAACCCAAAAACUCACCAUUUCAGCUCAAAGCUAUCAAUAGCAGAGAAAAAUGUAGAAUUGACUAAGCUAAUCUCAACCAAAUUCUGUCAAAAUGGGCUCCACGAAUUCCGCUUCAAGUCCAGAAUCCACCAAACCAAGUUUCGUGGCAAACGAAGCUUUCUACGUCACACACGAGCCAAAACGUCGAAGGUUGCUGCUGGAAUUCUGCUGGAACUGCAGUCUUCAAGGUGGAAAGUGUGCAAAUUGGAGAAAUUUGGAGUAAUUUGAGGGGUUGCAAUGCAAAUUGGCCUUCACUGUGAAGAGGAGAUGAAAAGAGUUUACUGGGGACGAACUCUAGCUAUUUAUAGGGAGGUGGAAGAGUCAGAUAAGCCCUAGGAACAAAGGAUACUAACCUGUUAUCCUUGCAGAAACGGGCAUUUUCGGGCACCCGGAACCAUGUUCUGGGCGUCCGAAACCUCCAGGCUGCACAAAUCCUCCUCUUCGGUUCCUCCGCCCGCGGUAUGCUGUGCCCCUAAAGUAGUCCGGCGGAUCCCACCUACCACCAACACGUCUCAACAAGAACGAUAUUUCCAAGGUAACUUUCGGACCCACUUCUGGGCGCCCGAAACAUAGGAUCCGAAUUGGCUUCCAAUUUCAAUUCAAUUCAACACUCAAGUUUUGGGCGACCCAAACCUAGUUCUGGUCGCCCGAAUCUGGCAAAACUGUAGUUUUGCCUAUUUGAGUCCGACAAGUCCAUUUUUGCAUCCAUUUCGUGCAGAAACGAUUCUGACUCAGUCCGACACUCUUUAGAUGUGUCGAUCAGUCACCAAUACUGUAGCCAAUCCUACCCAAAGCUUGGGAACACUACACCCACCCCUAUUUUUAUUUUAAAAAUUUAAAAAUUAAAAAGUUAAAUUUUGAAAAUUUAUAAUUUAUAAUCUCAAAAUUAAAAUUUUUAUAAUUAUAAAUUAUAAAUUAUAAAUUUAAAUUUUGAUAUUUUAAAAUUUUCAAAUUUAUAAUUUGAUAUUUUAUAUUUUUCAAAUUUAAAUUUGAUCAUAUUUUAAAGUUUGAAAUUUAAAAUUUAAAAUUUAAAAUUUUGAAUUUAAAAUUUAAUAUUUUAAAUUUUAAAUUUUAAUUUCAAAUUUUGAAAUUUCAAAGUUAAAAUUUUAAAUUUAAAAAUAUAAAUUUAAAAUUUUAAAAAUUCAAAUUCAAAUAUAAUGAGAGAGUAAUAUUAUUAUUUUUUAUUUAUAAAACCCACUAUCUUUCUUAUUUUAUUUUACCUAACAAAAAGUUAUUUUUUUUUUAUUUACAGGAAUAACCUAAUUUUCAUCCAAACGUAAAAUUAAUCUAAUCCCCACUUAUACUUUAAUUUAUAUAUGUUCCUGAAAUAACUAUUUUUUGUUUAUCCCCGAACCAAACGAUACCAAACGAUACCUAUAAGAGUAUCGAGGUGGAUUAAUUAAUUAAUUAAGCAAGCUUGUUUUACAAUGCAGGAGCUUCUACGGGCGGCCGUCCGUGUUCGACAGCGCGGCGGAAGUGAAUGGCGCGUCGGACGCGAUGGUGGUGAAGACGUGCGCGGAGAUGGAGGGGCCGUACGUGGAGUACCUGGAGGCGCAGUACGGGAAGCCGGUGCUGUUGGUGGGGCCCAUCGUCCCCGACGAGCCCCCCUCGGGUGGCGGCGGCGGCGAGGAGCUGGAGCCGCGCUGGGCCGAGUGGCUGGGCCGCUUCGCCCCGGGCUCCGUCGUCUUCUGCUCCUUCGGUAGCGAGACCUUCCUCGCCGACUCCGCCGUCGAGGAGCUCCUCUUCGGCCUCGAAGCUGCAGGCUCGCCGUUCCUCGUCGUGCUCAAUUUUCCCAAGGGGGGCGGUGGGGGCCAGAAGACACCGAUACCGGAAGGGUUCGAGGAGAGGGUGAGGGGGAGAGGGGUGGUGCACACGGGCGGGUGGGUGCAGCAGCAGCUGCUGCUGCGGCACCCGAGCGUGGGCUGCUUCGUGUGCCACGCCGGGCUGAGCUCCGUGCUGGAGGCAAUCGUCGCGGGGCCGCAGCUGGUCAUGCUGCCGCAGAAGGGCGACCAGUUCCUGAACGCGAAGCUCUUCAUGGCGGAGAUGGGGGUCGGGUUUGAGGUGGAGAGGCGGCCCGAGGACGGCUGGUUCGGGCGCGACGCGGUGUGCGCUGCGGUCAAGGCCGCGAUGGAGGCGGCGGCCCCCGCGGCGAGCCAGCAGAGCAGGGUCGGGGAGAGCCACAGGAAGUGGAGGGAGUUCUUGCUGGACGAACAGGUGCAGGGGAAGUUCACGGUCGAGUUCAUCGACAAGUUGAGGCAGCUGUGUGGGAAAUAGAUUGGGUCAAUUAGAUUGCUCUGUUAGUGGCCAAACAUUGACUAUAAUAAUGGGCUCGUUGUGAUGUUGUUGUAUUAUUAUUGCAAUCUCAUAUUACUAUCUUCAGGUGUGAUUUCUCUGUAUGUUCGUACAACAUUGGUUUAAGACUCUAUAAUGUUCUUGAUUAUAUAAUCCUUCCUGAUCUUCCUUCGUUGGUUUGUAUGCUUCUGCAUAUGUACACAAGUUUGCCCGUUAGUUUUAUGCUUUUUUUGGUUCUUAACUUUUUCCAUAUUUAUGAGAAAAUAGCUAUGAAGGGACUUCUAAUCAAAAAGUGUUGCUUACUACAAGGUCGGAGGUGGAGAAAAAUCCUACGAGGAGUUGGGGUCGGCGGGGGUGAUUGCAGAAUCAAAGAAUUCAAGGAUUUCCUUUCAGGUUUUCAUGUUUUAGACAAGCCUGAUGAAAUUCGAUGGAAAUGGAACGCAAGAAGAUGUUUCACUGUUAAGUCGAUGUAUGUACUAAUCCGAGAUGGGAGAGUUCGAGAUUUUCUUUUAUUAAAGGUUUGGGAGUUGACAAUACCAUCUAAAGUUAGAGUUUUUAUUUGGUUAGCACUUAAGAAGCGCUUACCUACGGUUGAUAACUUACUCAAAAGAGGCUAGUCUCGGAAUCAACAGUGCGUGAUGUGCGGCAACGAUUUAGAGACUGUUGAUCACCUACUGGUUGGAUGCGUAAUCAGCAAAUUUUUCAUAUACAACAUCCUAGAAGGUAGGCACAUUCCAGUAGCGGGGAUGGAGAUUAGGAGUGUUUGGGAGCUUCUGGCUAGGGACCGCCGCCGAGGGGCAGCUACGAUGGAUCUAAUUAGGGUCGUAACUUGUUGGUGGAUGAUUUGGCGGGAAAGAAAUAAUAUUAUUUUUAGAAGCCAAUCAUUUGACCAUUUUUUGACUAAUAGACAAAUACGGAACAUGAGUAGAGAAUGGACUGUGUUUUGCAGCUCUUAGUGCCUUGAGUUUGAGUGAGUACAAGUAUCAAUUUUCUGUAGUUUUUUAUUUUAGUUUCUAUUUGUCUUUUUUGUUUUGGUUGCCUUCAAUGUUUUCCGAAGCCGCGUUGCCUCAAACCCUGUAGCUAAAUUCAUCUGCUAAAUGAAUAAAGCAAGACUUUUGGUGUAUUUAUUUAUCCUGUGUUUUCAAGUUAUUUGAUCUUUGAAGUAAGUUUUGUGAAAUUCAGAGUGUAAACAUCUUGCCUCUUUGAAUUCUUACCGGCUCUUUUUACCUUGUUUGGGUGUGGGGCGUGGGUGUGGGUGUGUGAGCUUAAUUCCGGUAAAUGUUUUACUUAAAUGGCUGUGUAGAUUGCUCUUUGGCUUCGAUCUGACACUGUAAUUUACAGUUUGGAUCUUAUGAGUUUGAUCCAAAUGCAGAAUAUGUACGGCGCAAGCUUCUUGAGCUUGACCCCGUGCUACGAGCAGCAGGAGUUGAUCUAGCUAGGCUCCAACUACCACCCUCUCCCUGUUGUAGAAAUAGAUGCUGCAAAAGAUAAACUCCAAGAAGCCCUUGCAGAGAUGCAGCAGCAAGAAGCUGCUUCACGAGCCGCAGUAGAGAACGGAACCGAAGAAGGCCUCGGUGAUUCUUCAGAACUACCAAUGAUCGAUCUUCCCCAAAGAGAUCCAAAUGGAGGUGGAUCCUGAACCAAUCAGGACAAAUAAUUCCCCUAGAGCAGCAAGGAGACAUGAGGAUCAGAUGGUUCCUAGCAUGACUUCUUCAUUUGUUAAGAGUUGAAGCAGAGGAGGUUUCUGUAAAUUGAGGAAACAAUGGCGAGGACAGUAGGCCGGAGGUGCCUUCAAAUGUAGAUUUUGAGACACAGCCAGAGAGAGAAGAUAUAGGUCAAGCUGUCGACGAAACCGUAAGAAAUAAUGUUACCCAACAUUUCAGUCCUACGAGGAUUCGAGGUGCUGUAUAUUCGACAUUAGAAACUUCUAGUAGCUGGACUGCGAGAGAUGGCGGUGUGGUUCAUGUUUGGUCUCGUCCGACAACAUCUGGUCGUUCAGGACAUUUUGUUGCUGAUGAAACUGCUGUCAUUAACAACAGUUAUUUGGAAAGGCACUUGCAGCCUCACCAACUAAAAAAUUGGAGGCAGUUUUCAUAGACAGUGUGAGUACAGAAUCCACGUAGAAUUCUCUUGUCAAACUCAAAUAUUCAUGUUCUACACUCUUAUCUAAAUAUCUUAGUCUCUCAUGCCGAAAAGCUAAGUUGCUGUUUGGCUCCACGUAAGCGAGGUGUGAUAGUUUUUAGGUUCAAAAGGAUUGAUUCCCUAUAAAAUACGUUUCACUGGAAAAAAAAUUUUACGUAUUGAGAGAAUUAAAAUACUUGUCUGCAUUUUUUCUUGAUUGUUUCAGCACAAAAACACAAAUUGAAACUAAGAAGUUAUUCCUCAUCCUCACUCUCCCUUGCUCAACUCAUUUUUUUUCAUUUGCAAAUCAAACAAGUGUGACUCACAAGCUAGCAUUUAAUUUUAGGCCAAUCAGACAUCAAUAAACAGAAAUUUUGUUUCCAUGGAGAACACUAUUUCCUUGAAAAUAAAUUUCGGUAGUUUUACGUGGGAUCAAAUUCUCCUAAAUUUACAGUUAUUUUACUCUUUUAAUUGCUCAAAGUGCCUUUUUUGUUUGUAGAAGAUGAACAAAAUCUAAGAACAUAAUGAUUAGUUGGGAGGUGGAAAAUGCUAUAUAUGCAGUGAAAUGCUAUCGGUUAGACUCUAGAGUGGCAAAUACUUAAUGUAAAUUAUCUCCCCUCCUCUCCUUUAUUGCUUGAUCUUAAUCAUAGUUAGUUAAUUCGGAUUCAGCAAAAGUUCGGUACGAAUAUAAUUCGAAUAAAAUUCGUAUUUUAUUUUUAAAUUCGUAGAAAAAUACAGUUUAAAAACGGAUUCAUUAAGUAUUCAGAUACGCGAUUUAUACGGAUAUUAUACGUACGUUCACCAAUUAACAAAUCGGGAUAAAAAAUUCGGCUAUUAAACUAAACUUUUUUUUUUUUUCUAGAUUUAUGCUAUUAGCAUACAUAGUUAUAAACUCUUAAAAAUAUAUAAAAAAAAAGAGGGCUACGAAGUGAAAUAGAUUAAGUAAAAAAGGCAAUAACAAAUUUUAAUGUCGUCUCCAUCUUCAUCUUUUUCAUGAUCCACAUAUUUUAAAAAUUCAUGAAGUUUUUUAAUAAUUUGCGAAUAAUUCGGCAAUAAUUCAUAAAGGAAUUUUAUCCAAAAAACCACGCGUUUUUUUGGCCAAAUAGUUUGGCAUAUGCGAAUAAUAAAUCUAACCAAAAAAUUCGCGUAUUAUUCUAAUUUUUUGGAAAUAAAUCGUAUAUGGACCGCUUUAUUCGGAUUUUCAAUAAUUCGUGAAUAAUUCGUGAAUAAUUCAGCGAAUUAACUAACUAUGAUCUUAAAACAAGCAACCUGAUCUUCCAAUGUGAAAUUUCUAUUGAGAAUCUAGUGCUUUAGGGCUUAAUAGCACACAUAGCUGUUUGUAUUAUUGUUUUUUUUUAUUUUUGAGAAUAGGUAGCAUGCCACCUGCUUUAUUCAUUGAAAGUAUGAAUUAGGCUACAGGGGUGAGGCAACCAGGGCCUCUAGGAAAAAAAAAAAACCACGUCAGAAGAAACUAGGCCCAAAAAAAGAAAAAAAAAAUCACAGAAGGUCCUUCCAAGAAUCAAUCAGCUGCUUGAGUCUUUGCACUACUAAUAAAGGGUCUAAAUGUAUGUCACGGAAGACAAGGUUAUUUCUGGCCUUCCAAAUGGUCCACCAGUAUGCAGCCAAUUCAGCUAGACCGUUCCUCCUACUUUGACCACCAAGUCUUCCCUUCCAACCUUUUCCGGACUGUUUGUAUUAUUGUUACAAAAGGAUUGUAUUGAAUCAUUCACUAGAUUGCCAGAGUUGCUGAAUAACGCAUGUCCGUAUCCUUCAUAUUUUUUAACUUUUGGUUUAUUGAACAGCUAAAUAUUCUAUUACCUGCAAAUUGCACAAUGCAACACUAGAGAUCAUACUUUUCCGGGUAUGGCCAUACGGCUUAAGCAUACAUUAUCGGUCGAUUGGUUGGCGAUGUAUCGAUCAUGAGGAUAUGAUGCAACAUUAAGUUGUCUACAUUGGUAAUUUUGUUUACUUUCCUUCUUACUAGUACUCAGAAAAAUGAAGUAAUAAUUCUCGCUCAUGUUUUGUGAAAAACAGUACGUUUGACAUUGUUUUUCUUGUUCGAUAAACAUUAUAUCUUUCUUUUGUUUGUUGAAUGGUGCUAAAGCUUAAAUAGUCCUAAAUCAUUCAGGUUUUUUCUGUGGUUCUGUAAGGUACAGGUCCAAUGGAUAAGAUUUUAAAAAGUAAAAUACUACAGUUUCUUUUGAUUCUUCUAAAAAUUGAGUGAGUUCAAAUUUCCUUUUGCAGGGUAAAACAAAUUGUUAGUUUGUUUUCUUUAAGGACUUUUUGCCCCAGUUUGAGAUAUUUCUUAUUUUUUUUGUCACUUUAAAUGGAAAAGCUUAAUGGAUCAUUGUUGUUGAAUGUCUAAGCACAUUGCUGGACCCCCCGGUGAGUAAUAAUGUAAUUAGAAAGGGUUAAAAAAAAAAAAUUUUACUUCCCAAUUUAACAGAUCUUAAAACAUAUGUGGAUAGCAAAAUGGUUAUGUUUUUCUUUUAAGAGAAAGGUAGCAUAUUACUUGCUUCAUUUAUUAAGGAAUGAAUUAAACUACAAGAGUAAGAUAGAGGGACCUCCGAACGAUACCAAAAUAUAAAAAAAAAAGAAGAAGAAGAAAAAGAAAAAAAAAAUAUUUAAAUUCCUUUAAAUUCCGAGGUCAAGAUACGCUCGUUUAAAUACGCUGUUUUCCUCCCGCUGAAGCUUCUAUCGUCUGGAGUUGACAGCUAGCAAGCGGUCAGCAUUAGCCAUCCUAAAAAUAACGGCAUUCCUUACCUUCCAGAUGACUCACCAACUGGCUGUCAGUCCAGUCAUUAUGAUUAUGUUGCCCGCCUUUUAUGUCAUAAGCAUAUUCUUUAUUUAGCACUAGAGAAUCAAUGGAUUAUGCAAAUUGGUAUAGGUGUUUUAAGAAUACUCAAACAAAUUUCUCAAAAGAAAAAAAGAAUCUCAAAAACAAUAUUACCAUUUCGACCCUUUCUCGGCCUAGUAGAAAAAUAUGGACUUCAAAAUAAACACUAUCUUAAUUAUUUUUUCUAUAUAUAAUAGUAGAAUGGGAAACAGAGCCCUGCACUCUUUUCAUAAUUUUAUUAUUUGUUUAAUCGAUAGAUAAACGGUUGUUACCGGUCAUCACAUCCAUCGGGUCCACCAAAAUAAAACAAAUGUCCAUCAUAUCGUCCAUACUUGAAUUAACAAAUUUACUAAUUGUGUAGCAUGCUUUCUUGUCAAUAAAUCUAUAUUGUGCACCAUCAAUUAAGUCAUUAGAUUUACAUACCUUCAAAAUCAACUCUUUCAAGAUUUUUAAAGUAUGCUGCUUUUCUUUCCAAUUCACCAGCAUAAUAUUCACUACCCAUCGGAGGACCAGCAUCAGUUAAAGUUGUAAAGAGAGACUUUGGCCAAUAGCCUAUUAAAAUUUAUUUUUGAAGUUAGAAAAUUAAAAAUACUAAUAAAAUUAAAAAUAAAAUAAAAUUAAUUAUUAUUUUAAUUUAUUUAAUUUAUUUGUCAUCUAAUUUAUUGCUAAAUUUUUAUGGACAGAUCUAAUAAAUAUUUGUGAUCUAUCGCAACGAUCGAUAUGGGAUUAAUUAGUCUUUUCUCUUUAAAGAUAUAAAUCUAUAUAAUUAUUAUACUUGUAAAUUUUAUUAUUAUAUUUUAAUUUCUAUUUUUUAUAAGAUGUAGUUGUACUUUACAUAUAAAAAAGUUUAUCAGUAUAUUAACUAGUGAGUAUAGUAAGCUAUACAUAGCCAACAUUCAUAAUUAUUUGACUAAAUUUUUUAAAAUAAUAUAAUAAGAACUUAUUGGGACUAAGAAAGCUAAAAUAAAAUUGUAUCAAAGCUUGUCAUUAGGAGGAUAUGUGUAUCCAUUAGCACGUAAGUAUGCCACAUGUUGGCUCGGAAGCUUGCCUGUACCGUACCGUGUCGGCAAACAGUGGCAUGCCCUCAUGUCAUGGCACCUUAAUCCUUAAUUGUUGGUUCUCUUAUUAUGUCGUUGUGGACCGCAAUCCUCUCAACUUAACUCGGUUCAUCCAGCUCAAGUUAAAAGUCUUUUAAACUUAUUAACUUGGGAUAGAAAACAGACAUAUUUUAGCCAAUAAUAAAUAGCUAACAGCCUGUAGGCUAUACGCAUGCACACACUCCCCUUAAAGCAGGAUCCAACCACUGGUCACUGUAGUCGAAGUGAGUGUUGGUACAAAGUAAUACUAUUCAAACAUCCAACAACCAAAGUUGUGGAGAAUCUGUUCUACAACAUCUUAGCAGACCAUUAGUACAUGCAUGUUGUAAAGAUCAGGUAGUCCUGUCUAAAAAGAAAUAAAGCAAAGGAGUUUUAUGCAAAAAUCUCUUGAGAGCUGUGAAAGAAGCUCCCUUAAGAAUCUCAGAUUAUGUAAAGCAGUAUACAAAUAUUCCAGUCACAGAAUACAAGGCUUCUUUUCUAGGUUUAGUUAAGCAAGGAGACAGUGAUGCCUCAUUAUUAUAUAGGUUCUAUUUUUUUAUUAUUUUUUUCUUUUUCUUUUUCUUGCAUGAAAAACCCAACCCAUGUAAAAUCCAAGAGGCCAAUGGGCCCAGUGGACCCUCCAAAUCAACAUUUUCACAUUCAUGGUCCCACAAAAGUGUAACAAGAAUCACUUCCAUCUCCAAGGACAAAGAAAAGGAAAAAGAAAAGAGAUGAAAAAGAAAGAACAAAAAUAAACAUAUGAAAAUAAAUUAAAAAAAACCCAACACUUCCAGCAUAUAAAAAUAUAAAAAAAAAACUAACCCCUCCCCCACAUUACCAUGCUUUCCUAUCCCCCCCUUUCCUUUCUCUCCUUUGAUUCCUCUCAUUCUCCCUUUGCUUCUUUAACUAGUUAUAGUAACACUUCUUUGCAUAUGGCCAUGUUCUUCUUCUUAAACAAGUGAUGGCUCAAGAAGCAAGUUUGGAUAGAGAGAAGUAGAAGUAGAAGGUGUAGAGAAGAGUAUGAGUAGGUCCCUGAGGGCCUUGUUGUGUGUGGGGCUUUUGGUGUCUUUUGCAAUAUAUGUGGAAAGUAGGUCUCAUGGUGCAAAAGCCACACAACCACUUGCUGCUGCAGCAGCUGCUUCUGCUUCUGCUGCAGCUGUGGUGAGUUUUGAGAAUUUGGAGAGCUCCUCUUCAUCAAGAACCAGCAGGCCCAUCAAUAGGCACAUGAUGAACAUGGACCCAUUUAGAAGUAGUAAGAGAAGAGUGCCCAAUGGGGCUGAUCCCAUUCACAACAGGUACACUUUAUAUGUUGCUUGCAUUUGAUAUUAAUUUCUUUGCAAUGAAAUUACUAGUUUAAUUUAGCGCAUCUGUAUGUUGACAGGUACAGUUACGUACUUAAUUAGUCUCAAAAACGAAAAAGGAAAAUCAUACUUCAGUGCAUUUCUCAUCCCAUGAACUAAACUUUUUCAUGUUUUCUGGUUCAUCUUGCAUGUGUUAUGUCAUGCAUUACUUGGUUCUCCAAGGAAAAAUGUGGGAAUGUGUAGUUGUAAAAAUAUAUAUAUAUAUAUAAUAUAUAUAUAUAUAUAUAUAUAUAUAUAUAUUGGAGGCUAGCUACUCUACUCAAUUUGUUGUUGGCCUGUUCAAAAUUGAAAGAAAAGAGAAGUAAUUAAAAAUGUCACACGUAAUUAAUUAAUUCAUUAUACUCAUCACACUACAUUCCCUAAUAUUCAUACUUAUCCUCUCAACAAAAGUAGAUGGAUAUAUUCUUUCUAAUAAAAGUAGAUCAGAUUCUGUAACCCACUUCUAGGUACCCUUCAUUAUAACUACUUAAAAUCAAAAUGCCCCCAGAAAAUGAAAAGUUAAUGCAUGUAAACAUUCCAAUCAUCAUGUAUAAAAAAAUAAUUGGGUCCCACUGAGCUGAUUAUUAAAUCACUUAAUCCAAUAUCUAAUAGUUGAUAAGAACCAUUGUGUGUGUUGCAUGUAACUUACCCCAUGCAUCAAUAGCUAACCACCAUUAUCAUGUGCAAUGUUCACAGGGGAGAGGGGAAGUCGGGGCGACCACCGGGAAGAGCGUAGCAGCGACGGUGCUCCGAGGCGUGGGAGUUUCGACCCUAAGUGUUUAGAGGUGAAUUAUAUACUAGGCCUUAAGGGUCUCAUGGUGAGUGCAACUAUGAGUGGGGCUAUCUUAAUUUAAACAUUCCAAAGAUAUAUAUUAGCCAUAAUAUCUCAUUGCUUUCUUAAAGUGAUCUACUUUAAGAGAUAUUGAUGAUGUUGGGGUUUGUAAUAUAAAGAGUUACCAGCUUCACUCACACAAAAUGAACCUUCAAGAUUCUUUGACCAAAGAUGGCAGGUGCUUUUCCAGUAGCUUUAUUAGUUUUCUCCUUUAUUUUGUUUUAUUGUUUUAUAGAUUUAUAUAAAGAUAGAAAGAUGAAAGAGAAGUGGAUGAAGCUGUAGGUGAAUGAUCAUGUUUUUCAUGUGUGAUAAUCAAAAGAGAUUUAUUUCUGAGUGUUUUUCAAUUACGUCGAUCUUUUACAUAACAUGAUAUUAGAACCAGUCUAAAAUUAAUGCAGUCAAUUCCAAAAAGUCUUGUAUGAAAUUUAAUAAACUUUUUCGUUACCUUUUCUAUCUGUAUAUAUGGCAUAGUUCAUAUUAUUUUUAUCAAACACGCGAGUGAGAAUGUUAAGAUUAUUAUUAAAUUAUUCGUUAUCAACUUAAUUAUUUCGGUAAAUAAAAAAUAAAGAUCAAGAAAUGAUGUAGUUAGUUAGUGGCCCAGCUUCAAACACCAAGGCAUAUGUACCAAAUGUUUUUUUUUUGCUUUUUCCUUUUUCCUUUUUUUGUUUUCAGUAAUAAGCCAUCCUUGUCAAGGUUUGUGAUUUGUUCCCUCGAAAGUAAAGCAAUUAGUCCCUCCAACUAAAGAAGCUUUACUUUGUUUUAAACUUUAUUCUCUCUCUCUUGCUCAUAAUUUGUUUAUACUAGAUUACAUGACCCCACAUACAUGUUUUAUAUAUGCCAAGUUUGAAUAGAUCUUUAGACUAGUCAAAUUAAAAAGAAGAGCCAAAGUAGCAUAACUUGCAUGAUGCUUUUCCUUUAUUGUUUGUUUCUCUCUCUUUUGCUUCUUUUCUUGCACAAUUUUGAUUGGAACGAGGAGCAAACAAAAGACCAGCUCUGUCACAGCAGUGAGAGUCUGAAAUGAGAAACUAAAUCCAUGUCUCCUAGAUCAAACCCCUUGGUAAGGGCUAGAUAUGGUCUAUUUGGAGAACAUGAUCUACAUUAACUUGAUCUAACUUGGCCCAUUUGGUAGGUCUUGUAUGCUAUUAGGAGCACGAAAGUCUCUGUACUCCUAAAUCAUUUUCGAUGAUGGAGCUUCCGAAUUUACGAUCGGCUCCGUUAGACUUAAUCUAGCGUAUUUGAAGUAUGUAGAAAAUAAAUAUUGCAAUCUUUCGAUAUCAUUUACCUAGUGAUCAAAAGAGUUUAAACUCAACGGCUGAAAAUAAAAAUUUCACAAAAAGUGGUGAUAUAACACUAAAAUUUUCGAACAGAGAUAUUGACCUCGUAGUAAAUGGUAUAAAAAAAAUUUUGUCAAAAUUUUAUUUGAUUUGAAUACUUCUAUACCGUUAAACUUGUAAACGAUAUACAUAAACCGUUAAAAAUUAUUAAUUUUGAAUCCUUUCAAUCGCUAGAUAAAUGAUAUCAAAAAAUUUCAAGUUUAAUAGAGCCGAUCAUCAAUUCGAAAGCUCCAUCAUCAAAAACGACCUAGCUAGAAGCAUGGAGACCUCCAUGCUCCUAAUAACACACAAGUCCUACUAGAGAUGUCAACGGGUCAGAUUCGGGAUGGAUUUUCAAAACCCGAAUCCGAACCCGACUCCAAACCCGAGACCUGAACCCGAACCAAAUCCAACGGAUAUUAAAAAUCCAUAUCCAAAUCCGAACCCGACCAAAAAUCCGAAACCCGAACCCAAACCCGAAAAUUUGAACCCGAAACAAUUAUUUCUUUUUUCAAUAUUUCAAAAUAUAUUAUAUUAAAUNCCCAAACCCGAAAAUUUGAACCCGAAACAAUUAUUUCUUUUUUCAAUAUUUCAAAAUAUAUUAUAUUAAAUCUAAAUUUUUAAAAUACAAAUUCAAAUGUAAUAUCAAAUUUUUAAUUAUAUAUAUAUUAUAUAUAAUACAAAAUAAAUUUGGGUUCGGAUCGGGUUCGGGUUGGAUACAGUCAAAAUUUAUAUUCGAAUCCAUGUCUGUCAGGUUUCUAUAUUUUAUAUCCAUAUUCAAAUUCAUAUUCAUUUAGCAUCAGAUAUAUCCGUUUCAUUCAGAUUCAGAUUCAGAUAAAAUUUCGAAUAUCCAUACCCAUUGACAUCCUAAGUCCUACUCUAGAUAUGUGUAAUUUAUUAAUUAAAUACUCAAUAGUAAUUCGCACCGCAANACGGAUAUUAAAAAUCCAUAUCCAAAUCCGAACCCGACCAAAAAUCCGAAACCCGAACCCAAACCCGAAAAUUUGAACCCGAAACAAUUAUUUCUUUUUUCAAUAUUUCAAAAUAUAUUAUAUUAAAUUUUUUUAAAAUACAAAUUCAAAUAUAAUAUCAAAUUUUUAUAUAUAUAUUAUAUAUAAUACAAAAUAAAUUUGGGUUCGGAUCGGGUUCGGGUCGGAUACAGUCAAAAUCCAUAUUCGAAUACAUGUCCGUCAGAUUUCUAUUUUUGAUAUCUAUAUCCAAAUCCAUAUUCAUUUAGCAUCAGAUAUAUCCGUUUCAUUCGGGUUCAGAUUCGGAUAAAAUUUCGAAUAUCCAUACCCAUUGACAUCCUAAGUCCUACUCUAGAUAUGUGUAAUUUAUUAAUUAAAUACUCAAUAGUAAUUCGCACCGCAACCCAAGUUAUGAGUUUGUGGUUAGUUGUAAACAACUCAGCCCAUCCAAAAAAUUUAAAAAAAAAAGGAAAGAAAAAAAAAAUCAAUAAUCCAAAACACACAGAAAUGCUUACUAUAUUCACAACACAAAAAACAGUUAUAUACAUGCAAGAACAGCGAAAGCUGUACCAACUCAGGAUCUCAAAAUACCGACCGUCCCUAGAGCAAGUGGCAAAGUGUCUGCUGAUUGGUAUCCAAGAUCCCAAUUUGAAUUCUAGUUGAUUCAUAUUUCCAAUUAAAUUUAUUUUUAAAUAAAAUAAUCGAAGCGUGUUUCCUAUCNGUUGAGAACCGCCGCUCCGCCGCCAACGUCAAUCCGUCGCAUGCGAGCAAACUCCCUUCUCUUGCUACCGGGCAGAGCUCUUUAAUUAAUUAGCUAUGCAACCGGAUGCUAAUUAAUUUGCCUCUAUACCCAUAGCCGUACAUGCCCUCAAUAACCGGCCACCUUUAUAAUUAGUUUCUCUAAUUAAUUUUGGCCUUGCUCGACACCAAGCCAUGCAUGUAUAUAUAUAUAAGAGAGGGAUUUGGCUCAAUCCUACUCUAAUUAAAUUGAAUAUAGAGUCAUAUAUGGAAAACGAAUCCUAGUCUAUCUAGGAUUCCAAUUUAAAUUAGGAUCCACCAAAAUAAAUCCUCAUGAGAUCCUUUUUAUUUUUUCAUAAAUCCGGUGUAUGAACCAAACCAAAAAAGAAGACAUAUCUUUAACAAUAGAGACAUAUGUUUGGGACACUUUUGAGUAAGUGUCCCAUUUAUGCUAAAACUUAAAAACACAUCUACUAAUGCCUAAAUAUAAAGCCCAGUCCAACCAAAAAUAAAAGAUUAUUCUACUCAACCCAUCACAGCAAGUCCAUUUGGCCCAAUUACAAACAGAAAAAAAGAAAAAAAGAAAAAAGAAAAAUCAAUUACCAUCUUUUUUUCUCUCUUCACUCAAUCCACUGAAAUUCUAGACGAAGAGUCUUUACUGUUGUCCUCCUCCGCCACCGCAGCCAACGAGAUAGAGUUUCGGCGGUUGCUGAAUGCUUAAAUAAGUGUUGGUAAAUUAGCAGCACUUUUUUAGGUUAUAGCGACACUCUUUAACUGUCACUAUAUACCUAACGACCUCACAUAUAGUAACACUUUUUAAAAAUGUCGGUAAUUUUAGCUAGCAGCACUUUUUUGACAUGUACCUACAUUUAAAAGUGUCGCUAUAGACCGUUUUUGUUGUAGUGAUAUUGCCUCUCUUUUUCACUUGAAGAAUGCAAUUCUCAGUAGGAUCGAGCAAAGAAUUGCGGCUUGGCGUUUAUUUUUUUAUUCUUUUAAAAAAAAUAGAAUUUCCAUAUACACUGUAUUACUUGAAAUUCUUUUAUUCAAGAUAUUUAUUUGGUAACAAAGAGUAUAAAACUUGGAAACAAUUUUUUUUUUUUUGCCUCCAAAAUUCUUUAAAAGAAGUUUUCAUCUAUCACUUGGAUUGGUGCAUUACAAACUAAUGAAUAAUGAUAAUAAAAGAAAAUUCCUUCGAUCAAUAUAUGAAAUUAUAUAGAAUUAGUGUGUUUAGAAUAUAAAAAAUAACAACGAUGCCAAACAAGACCUAAGUCUNUUUACCCGUGGGGAGAAUCAAUAGUGAGAACACAAAGUACCAUGCUCUAGGCCCUCUAGUCAAUUAGGCCAAAUCUUAGUAUUAAUUUUACCAUUAUUAUAAAGUUAAGACAUUUACAGGAGCCAGUUUGGCCAAGCUGUAGAAACUAAUAUUGUUGUAAACAGGUUGAAUUCAGGGUGGAUUUUCAAAAAUUUGAAUUCGAAUCCUACUAUCAAACCCGAUAUCUAACUUGAAGCCAAACUCAGCGAAUUUUGAAAAUCUAUAUUCAAAUCCGAACGUGACCAAAAUUGUGAAACCCGAAACCGAACUCUUCUUUACUACAUUUCAAAACAUAUUAUAUUGAAAUUUGAAUUUUUAAAAUAGGAAUUCAAAUAUAACAUCAAAUAUUUUUAUAUAUUAUGUAAUGUAAAAUCAAUUCAGGAUCGGAUCGGAUUUGGAUUGUGUACAGACAAAAUUCAUACUCGAACCAAAACCAUAUACAUGUAGCAUCUGAUAACCCAUCCUGAUCAGAUUCGUAUUCGAAAAAAAAUUUUGGCUCUAGAAUCUUUACUUCGUUUGGUUUGAGGUUAAGUAAGAACUAAUUAUUUUAGGAAUAAAUAUAAAUUCAGGUGUCAAUUUGGAAUAGACAAAUUUUACGUUUAGAUGAAAAUUGAGUUGUUUCCGAAAAUAAGAAAAAUAGCGCUUGAAUAGAUAAGAUGGAAUAAGAAGAAUAGUGGAUAGUUAUAAUAGAAAAUAAUUAUAUUACUCCUUAUAUUUGAAUUUAAAGUUUUAAAUUUUAUAUUUAAAAUUUAAAAUUUAAAUAUAUAACUAUAAAAAAUUUAAAAAUUCAAAAUAAAAUUUAAAUUUUUAAAUCUCAAAUUUAAAUUUUAAAGUUCUAAAUUUUAAAUUUAAAAUUAUAUUUAAAUUUAAAAAUAUCAAAUAUCAAAUUUUAAAUCUAAAAAAUAAAAAAAUAAUUUAAAAUUUAAAAUUUAAUUUUAAUUUUAAAAUUACAAAUUAUUAAAUUUUUAAAAUUUAAAUUAUAAAUUUAAAUUUAAAAAUUAAAUUAAGGUGGGAUUAGCUUAUUCCACUCCAAUUCUAGAUGGAGGUGGGGUUUGUUAACCCCACCCCUAAUGGAUUAUUUCGGAAUAAUCUGUUAGGGAUGGAAAUAACCCGUUAAGGGUGGGAUUAACAAACUUCACCUCCACCGACUGUCCUUAGAGUAAGUGGCAAAAGGUUUGGUGGUUGAUACCCGAAACCCAAGUCGAAUCCUAGUUGAUUCACAUUUCCAGCUAAGUUUAUUUCUAAAUGAAAUAAACGAAAUAGGUAGCGUGCUAUGUAUCUCUCAAAAAAAUAAAAUAAAAUUAAAUAAAAUUAAAAAAAANAAAUUAUAUUUAAAUUUAAAAAUAUCAAAUAUCAAAUUUUAAAUUUUAAAAAUAAAAAAAUAAUUUAAAAUUUUAAUUUUAAUUUUAAUUUUAAAAUUACAAAUUAUUAAAUUUUUAAAAUUUAAAUUAUAAAUUUAAAUUUAAAAAUUAAAUUAGGGUGGGAUUAGCUGAUUCCACUCCAAUUCUAAAUGGAGGUGGAGUUUGUUAACCCCACCCCUAAUGGAUUAUUUCGAAAUAAUCUGUUAGGGAUGGAGAUAACCCGUUAAGGAUGGGAUUAACAAACUUCACCUUCACCGACUGUCCUUAGAGCAAGUGGCAAAGGGCUUGGUGGUUGAUACCCGAAACCCUAGUCGAAUCCUAGUUGAUUCACAUUUCCAGCUAAGUUUAUUUCUAAAUGAAAUAAAUGAAGUAGGUAGCGUGCUACGUAUCUCGCAACAAAAAAAAAAANACCUCCCAAAAAGAUGAUUGGGGAUAAGGGGGAAGGGAUAACCCCUCAAAGGCACCGACCGUUCCUAGAGUAAGUGACAAAGGGCUUGGUGGUUAAUUGGUACCCGAGGUCCUAAGUUUGAAGUCUAGUUGAUUCAUAUUUCUAGCUAAAUUUAUUUUUAAAUAAAAUAAACGAAGCAGGUAGCGUGCUAUCUAUCUCUCUUAAAAAAAAAACAAACUCUACCUCCCAAAACGGUGUCAAGCCUUAGGUGCUAUUGGAGCAACUUCCACCUGAUCAAAAGAUGGAUCACUCACAAUGUGGAGCACAAGAGCAAGGCACUCGAUGCUCGUGAGAGCACCAUAGACUACGAGCGAGGCUAUGCAAUCUAGGAUUUGCACAGAUGCACGAUGAAUACGUCUACGCUAUAGGUGGGGAAGGGUUUUUUAAAAAUAAGUAUAAGUAAAAGCUAAGAGUUACUUGGUUCUUUUCAUUCUCUAUAAUCAAUAAAUGGUUCAUUUUUAUUUUUACUCACCAGGCCUAUAAAUAGGAAGCCCUCAAACCAGCCACAAACUCCAAAUACUAAAAUCCUCUUUUUCAAGAAAUACAAUUUUCAUGAGUUGAGCUGGAAUACUAUUAAUAAUAUUUAAGCUUUUUUCCUAUCGAUUUUUUAAUCGUUCGAUCUACACUUUAAUCAAUUCCACCCUUUAGAUCAUACUAUUCAACCAAUGACGCACUCAACCCUAGGGGGACCACUACUAAACCCUAGGUUUCGUUUGUUUCGAGGUCAAGUAAAAACUAGUUAUUUCAGGGAUAGGUAUAAGUUAGCAGUCUGGAAGAAACCAAUUUUGCUUUUGGAUGGAAAUUGAACUGUUUCCGAUAAUAAGAAAAAUAACAUUUGGAUAGAUAAAGUGGUAUAAGAAUAAUAGUAGGUAGUUAUAAAUAGAAAAUAAUGAUAUUGCCCCUUAUAUUNUCCAGCUAAGUUUAUUUCUAAAUGAAAUAAACGAAAUAGGUAGCGUGCUAUGUAUCUCUCAAAAAAAUAAAAUAAAAUUAAAUAAAAUUAAAAAAAAAAAAACUUCACCUCCCAAAAAAGAUGUUUGGGAAUAAGGGGAAAGGGAUAACCCCUCAAAGGCACCGACCGUUCCUAGAGUAAGUGGCAAAGGGCUUGAUGGUUAAUUGGUACCCGAGGUCCUAAGUUCGAAUUCUAGUUGAUUCAUAUUUCUAUCUAAAUUUAUUUUUAAAUGAAAUAAACGAAGCGGGUAGUGUGCUAUCUAUCUCUCUUAAAAAAAGAAAAAAGAAAAAGAAAAAAAAAAAUCCACCUCCCAAAACGGUGUCAAGCCUUAGGUGCUAUUGGAGCAACUUCCACCUGAUCAAAAGAUGGAUCACUCACAAUGUGGAGCACAAGGCAAUUGAGCACAAGAAGACGGCUAGCCUGAGCCUAAGGGUCGAGCAGUCCACCACUACUAGGUGGUUGCAGGAUGUGCAAGUAGGGUACGUGGAUCUGUAGUAAAUGUUUCCAUAUAUAUAUAUAUAUAUAUAUAUAGAGAGAGAGAGAGAGAGAGAGAGAGAGAGUUGAUCUAGGAUACUUACAAGUAUCAUCCUUAUGUUGCUAUCACGUUUUUAGCCAUAGGAUUUACUUUUUGAUUACAAAUAGUUCUUGAAUCAAACACUAUUCCACCUACCACCUCCUACCACCACCUACCACCAUCAUCUCAAUCUCACAUCUUUUCAUCCAAGGACUCAAAACACACAAGUAUCACUUGGGUGGUACUUGUAAAAGUAUUCUAGCCCUACUAUAUAUAUAUAUAUAUAUAUAUAUAUAUAUAUAAAUCUCGCGAUAUGAGAGUCUAUGCGUACGUGCAUGUUGCGGAGAACAAGUACCCUCGAUAGUUUGUGCUCAGCAACGGAUUUCUAGAUCUGCAUCGGGAGCUGGCUGGUGAUCGUGCUCAGCAGAGCAAGGCACUCGAUGCUCGUGAGAGCACGAUAGACUACGAGCGAGGCUAUGCAAUCUAGGAUUUGCACAGAUGCACGAUGAAUACGUCUACGCUAUAGGUGGGGAAGGGUUUUUUAAAAAUAAGUAUAAGUAAAAGCUAAGAGUUACUUGGUUCUUUACAUUCUCUAUAAUCAAUAAAUGGUUCAUUUUUAUUUUUACUCACCUGGCCUAUAAAUAGGAAGCCCUCAAACCAGCCACAAACUCCAAAUAUUAAAAUCCUCUUUUUCAAGAAAUACAAUUUUCAUGAGUUGAGCUGGAAUACUAUUAAUAAUAUUUAAGCUUUUUUGCUAUCAAUUUUUUAAUCUUUCGAUCUACACUUUAAUCAAUUCCACCCUUUAGAUCAUACUAUUCAACGAAUGACACACUCAACCCUAGGGGGACCACUACUAAACCCUAGGUUUCGUUUGGUUCGAGGUAAAGUAAAAACUAGUUAUUUCAGGAAUAGGUAUAAGUUAGCGGCCUGGAAGAGAUCAAUUUUGUGUCUGGCUGAAAAUUGAGUUGUUUCCAAAAAUAGCAUUUGGUUAGAUAAAGUGGAAUAAGAAUAAUAGUAGGUAGUUAUAAAUAGAAAAUAAUGAUAUUUUUCCUUAUAUUUAAACAUAAAUUUUUAAAUUUUAUAUUUAAAAUUUAAAAUUUAAAUAUAUAACUUUAAAAAUUAAAAAAUUCAAAAUAAAAUUUUAAUUUUUAAAUAUCAAAUUCAAAAUUUUAAAGUUUUAAAUUAUAAAUUUAAGAUCAAUUUGCUAUUUUAAAACAGGAUUCACCCAUGUUUAAUGAAAAAAAAAUUUAUAAAUUUAAGAUUAUAUUUGAAUUUAAAAAUAUCAAAUAUCAAAUUUUAAAUUAAAAAAAUUAAAAUAAUAAUUUAAAAUUUAAAAUUUAAAAUUAUAAAUAUUAAUUUUAAUAUUAUAAAUUUUUAAAUUUGAAAAAAUAUAAUAUUUAAUAUUUAAAUUUUAAAUUUUAAUUUAAAAAUUAAAUAGGGGUGGGAUUAGCUAAUCCCAGCUAAUCCCUGGGAUUAGCUAAUCCCACCCUUAUUCAAAGGGGAGGGUGGGGUUAGCCAACCCUACCCUUAUAAAAAAAAGUGUUUGGGGAUUAAGCGGGGGGAUAACCCCUUAUCUCUCCUCUUAAUCCUAAAUCAAACACCACCUACGGAACCACUAUCAUCCUAUCCCUACAAUUUUUCAUCCAAGUGUUAAAAGUUCGAUAGCAAAAUAGUCCUAAUACUAUUAAUAGUAUUCCAACCUAAUUCUAAUUUUCAUAUCUCAAAAGUUUAGCACUCUUUCUAGCACUUAGUUUUAGAGUGCAAGUAGGUCCAGACUAGCAAAAUCGAGACAGAAUUGCUCAUUUUCAAGGAGGAAGGUGGGUGCUACACGGAUUAUUUGAGCAAAAUCGCUAGCUCCCUGACAAUAUGCUUUCUUAAAAAUUCACAAAUAAUAUUUAACAAAGAUAGUUAUAGUUUAAAAACUGUGGUCAUAACUGCAUUUACAUACUAUAGUUAGUUAAUUCGCGAAUAAUUAGCAUGUUAUUGGCAAACAAUUGAAAAACUANACAUCGAUCAAUCGUUAAAAUAGUUAUUUAUAAAAUUCUUUGAUCACUUAAUAAAUGAUAUUAAAAAAUUAUAAAAUUUAAUUUCUAAAUAGUUCUAAUAUUGUAUAUCAUGUCUAAUACAACAUAUUGUUGAAUUGAGUAUCUUAUCGUCAAAAAUAACUUACAAUCAUGAAAAGCUUGUGUGCUUUUAAAAUCACAGGAGCUAGCGUACUACUCUAGCCAAAUGUUUACCUAAAAACUAGGAAAAACUUCAAAUACCACCCCUGUAGUUUUAUAUUUUUUUACUUUAGCAUCCUAUGGUUUAAAGUGUAUCAAUUUAGUGCCAUGUGAUUUCAUUUUUAUUUUUUUAUUAUCGAUUCUACUAAUUUUUUUUAUUAAAUCAGUGACAAAAUUAAAACUAAAGGGUAUUAAAGUGAAUAUUCGAUAAACCUAGAUGCAGUAUUUGAAGUUUUUUUUAUAUAUAAUUUAAUAAAUUAUUAACGAAAAUGCUGACGAAAAGAUAAAAAUGAAACCACAUGAUGCUAAUUUAAUACACUUAAAUCACAUGGUAUUAAAGUGAGAAAGUACGAAACCUCAGGGUUGGUAUUUGAAGUUUACCCUAAAAACUAUGAUUCAAAAAUCCAACGGUCAACUCCGUGGGCGCGGAAACUCCAGCAAAAGCAGAUAUAGAAAGCAGAGUUAGACCUCCCGGCAAUUUCUGUGGGCGCCGCUAAUUAACAUCCCCUCCCCUCCAUACUCCAAUUCUAUAAAGAUCGAGCUUCUCCACCCAUCCAAUUUCUCACGCUUGAUAAUAAUAAUAAUAAUAAUAAUAAUAAUAAUAAUGGUGAUGGGGGUGGGAUUUCGCCGCGCCCUCGCCGUCCUCUCUCUUCUCUUCGUCGUCUCCCUCACGCUCGUUCUCCACGAGGAGACGAGCGGUGGGCCCGUCGCCUUCGACCCCGCGAGGGUCACCCAGGUCUCGUGGAAGCCCAGGUUUCAGUUCUCCAAUCUCUUCUCUCUUUUGUUCGAGUUUUCUGUUUCGAUAUUAUCGGAUAGGAAAGAAAUUAUAAUUUGUUAAAUGUCUCUCGAAAUUUAAUUGCAGUUUAAUUUGCAGUGCGGUAAAUCUAAAAAAAAAUUAUGAAGAAAAAAAUGGACAUUUGUAGUAGUUAGCAUCAGCCUGAGCCCGUUAAAAAACUCCUUUCUUCGUUUUACUGUAGAGAUGUACAGCGUAUUGUACUUUCACAACAUUGCAAAGUUCUCUAUUUUUUCGUUCGAAAUUUUUUUCUGCAAAGAAUUUUUCACGUAAAUCUAUAUGUUCCAUUUUAUUUUAUUGUCUUGUAGUUUGUUCACUUUGCGAUCGUCAUUUUUCAUUUCAGUUUUUACGCUCAUAGUAAUAUAAUUAAAAAUAUAAGGACUAUAGAUUGGGCUUAAAUAUUUUGAGCCAAUAGUUUGUGACUAUAUUUUCGAUAAUAGUUGUGAAGUCAUUUUAAAAUUUUAAAAAUUUAGAUUUUUAUUUUUUUUUUAUUUUUUUUAUUCUUUUUUUUUGCAGGGUUUUCUUGUAUAAGAGGUUUCUUUCUGAUGAAGAGUGCGACCACCUGAUCAAGUUGGUAUGUGGAUUAAUUUAUUUUUGAUGCACCUCAACUUACUUAUAGGUUAUUCUGAAAUAAGCUUCUGAACAGUAUAUAUAUAUAUAUUUUUUUAAUGAUAGCAUUUGUUUUAAUUGCUUUUACUUAAUAUUGUGCCCAGAAGAUGAAUUGAAAUUUCCGUUUAGUUCGAGAAUGUUGGUUUGAAAUAACUUAAAUUAAAAGAAACAAAAGUUGAGGGGUGCUGAAAAACAAACAGAAGCAGAAUUUGAGGGUAUAUUUCAAAAAUACGCUAUAGUUGAAGAACCGGUUCUUCAUACAUUUUUACAUCAAUCUCUCUUAUAUGUCCUCACUUUACUUAUUCUUGAUUCGGUUUGGAUUAUGAGUAGGCAAAGAGUAAGCUGGCGAAAUCGAUGGUCGCGGAUAAUGAGUCGGGGAAGAGUGUGAUGAGCAAUGUUCGGACGAGCUCCGGCAUGUUCUUGAUGAAGCGUCAGGUAUUUCUCCGAUUACCGGAGCUUCUUCUUUGCAUUUCUUCAGCAUUAGGAUUUACAUCAAGAGAGAGAUUCAGAGUUGAUGUUACAAAAUAUCAAAAUUGAAGUUCAACAUGUGCAGAAAAUGUCUGACGAAUUUUUCAGCAUAGUAAUACCGACAGAUUCGCUAAAUUGUAUCACAACAAUUGAUAAAACAUGAUUAAGAAAAAUGAGAAUAACACCCCUUUCCAUGCAGGACGCAAUUGUCGCCAGAAUUGAGCAAAGAAUCGCUGCCUGGACCUUCCUGCCCGAAGGUAAUUCAUAUGAAUUUCUGUUCCUACUGACCGACAGAUUCCUAUUAACUUUUUCUUUUUUAAAAAAAUUUUCUACCUAACACAUUCUGAAAUCAGAAAAUGCCGAGCCCAUUCAAGUGCUGCGGUACGGAAUCGGUCAGAAGUACGAGCCACAUUUCGAUUAUUUUUAUGACCAAAUAAAUCAAGUACGCGGUGGUCANAAUUUUUUAAUUUUAAAUUAUAAAUAUUAAUUUUAAUAUUAUAAAUUUUUAAUUUUAAAAAAUAUAAUAUUUAAUAUUUAAAUUUUAAAUUUUAAUUUAAAAAUUAAAUAGGGGUGGGAUUAGCUAAUCCCACCCUUAUUCAAAGGGGAGGGUGGGGUUAGCCAACCCUACCUUUAUAAAAAAAAAAAAGUGUUUGGGGAUUAAGCGGGGUGAUAACCCCUUAUCUCCCCUCUUAACUCCAAAUCAAACACCACCUACGGGACCACUAUCAUUCCAACCCUACAAUUUUUCAUUCAAGUGUUAAAAGCUCGAUAGCAAAAUAGUCCUAAUACUAUUAAUAGUAUUCCAACCUAAUUCUAAUUUUCAUAUCUCAAAAGUUUAGCACUCUUUCUAGCACUUAGUUUUAGAGUGCAAGUAGGUCCAGACUAGCAAAAUCGGGACAGACUUGCUCAUUUUCAAGGAGGAAGGUGGGUGCUAGACGGAUUAUUUGAGCAAAAUCGCUAGCUCCCUGACGUUAUGCUUUCUUAAAAAUUCACAAAUAAUAUUUAACAAAGAUAGUCAUAGUUUAAAAACUGUGGCCAUAACUGCGUUUACAUACCAUAGUUAGUUAAUUCGCGAAUAAUUAGCAUGUUAUUGGCAAACAAUUGAAAAACUAAAUAAAUUGAUCCGUCUGCGAAGUCUUUUUAAAAGUUGUAAUAACAUUCCUUGUGUAUUUUUUUUUUGUUGAUCAUAGCAUUCGCAAUUAAAACGCCUGCGCCGAAUGGUAUGUUGAAGAAUUCGAACUGGACAACUACGGAAAGAUAAAAUUUCUCGGAUCGGCACCGUGUCGAUCCGAGCAUCUCCGCCCUAUCAAUCGAGCCACCUUUCCUCUUCGAUCUUGAAGAAAACAUGAAAAUGAAAAAAGCAGUGCACCGCGCGAUUGAAGUAUCGCAUUGCAUGAGCUAAUAUGGGCCUUGUAGACCGCAUCGAUCGUAGACUUUUGUUUUUUUUUUUUGAGAGAUGGGUAGCAUGCUAUUCGUUUCGUUUAUUUUAUUUAAAAAUAAACUUAACUGAAAAUGUGAAUCAACUAGAAUUCGAACUCAGGACCUCAAAUACCAACCACCAAACUCUUUGCCACUUGCGCUAGGCAUAGUCGGUUAUAAAUCUAUACUUUUAUAUGGAUCGCUACAUCUAUCUAUAUUAUAUUACUUAAAAAAGGCUAUUUUUGUUUGCUCUUUUGUCUUUUCCUCCCAAAAUUGCCACUCUUUUGUAAUAUAAUGUCAAUUUUUUUAAAAAAAAUAAUAUCUUAUAUACCUUUCAAAAUUUUUAAAAUUUCUUAUAUAUUGUUACUUUUUUGUUUCAAAUAUAUCCUUCGUAUAUUUUUUCGUUAUUUAAAAAUAAUCUAUUUGUUAAUACCCGCUAAGUCAUCAUCGAUUAAAUCUGAAUUAAAUUUUUAUCAGAGUUAAAAAAAAUCAAAAUAUUUUUUUUUCUAAGUUAUGAGUAAAUAAGAAAAGUUGGUGACGAUACAAGAUUAUAUUUGAAGGGGAUAAAGUCAAAAUAUUUUUUUUUGCUCCUAAUAUAAAGGCAAAUAAAGAAAAUUUAGUAAUAGUAAAAAUUAUAUUUAAAAAUAGCAGUUUUAUAGAGAUAACGGUUGUUCCUAACAGUUUACUCAUAGAAUUUAACUCUAAAAAUAUAUUUAAAAGAAUUUAAAAUAUUAAAAAAAAAAUUUAUAUUAACUUUCUAAAAAAAUAAAUAAAUAAAUGAAAAUUUUCUCGAGAUAUAAGUGAUUGCCCCCUAAAAAACAUAACCACACGACUUGCGCGCGAAGGAAGCCCCAUCCACGAGGCUCCUUUCCCAUAUUUUUUUCAUUUUACUUUUUUUUUUAAAAUUUUAAUUUUACUAGGUUUAUCCUUUUUUUCUAUUUUUAUUUGUAUUUCUAUUCUUUAUUAAAAAAAUAAAAAAAUUCAUUUUUCUAAAGAAACACUACCACUUCCUCGUACGGAUGUGUACCCCACUGGUGAGAUGCACGGGUCAAUUCCGUUAUGCUUCAAAAGUCAAAACAUAAAAUGUGUUUGCAUUUACCCUUCAAUAUAUUUCCUCCUUUUCCCUUUGCAAUUAGCGCAUGUUUAAUUUAAAGUAAUUGAGAUUUGAAUGAGAAAUAAGAUAUAUUUGCUUGGAUUAAGAGAUUGAUACUUCGAUUUUCAUUUCGGGAAUAUUAAAAUUCCUCAAAAAUGAAGUCAAUAAGUUCAAAUUUGAACAAUAAAUUUAAAUGUUGAAUCUUAAUUUGAACAUAAUUACGAUUUCAAAUUCUUUUUCAACCAAAUGUGCUUUUAAUGUGGGACAAAGUUGGUCAAAUUCGAGGGACGUGUCCUUACAACUUUGAAUGCAGUAGCUUGAUCAAUCCCCUCCUACAAGCACCCACAAGUCUCGGUCGAAGCAGUGUGAAUUUGAAUGGCUCCAUCGGGUCCAAUCAACUUGACCCGAACUAGGACUAUUGACCCGAACCCGUUUGAGAAUUUCCUAUUGUUUUUUGCAUUGUCCUUACCAUGCAAAUACCAAAUAUUUUCCUACCUUAACGGCCUAUAAAAAAACCCGUCUCAUUGUAUAGUUCCCUAUCAAAUUUUGUAUCCUGAAUCAAAACGUGAGAGAUACACAAGCAAAAAAAAAAUGGCAAAAGGGUGUAAUGCCAUGGAAGUGAUGCUANNNNNNNNNNNNNNNNNNNNNNNNNNNNNNNNNNNNNNNNNNNNNNNNNNNNNNNNNNNNNNNNNNNNNNAAAAAAAUUUAUGAAAUUAAGUGUAUAAUUUUGAAUUUAAAAUAGUCAAAUAUCAUAAUUUUAAAUUAAAAAUUAAAAUAAUAAUUUUAAAAUUUAAAAUUUAAAAUUAUAAAUAUUAUUUUAAUAUAUAAUUUAAAUUGAAUAAAUAUAUAUUUAUAUUUAAAUUUUUAAAUUUAAUUUUAAAUAUUAAUAGGGGGGACGAUUAGCUUAAUCCCAGCUAUCCCUGGAUUAAGCUAAUCCCACCCUAUUCCAAAGGGGAGGUGGCGGUAGUCCAACACCUACCCUAUUAAAAAAAAGAGUGUUUGGGGAUUAACGGGGGAUAACCCCUUAUCUCUCCUCUUCAAUCAAUCAAACACCACCUACGAACCACUAUCAAUCGUAUCCCGUCAAUUUUUCAUCCAACAAGUGUUAAAAGCUCGAUAGCAAAAUAGUCCUAAUACUAUUAAUAGUAUUCCAACCUAAUUCUAAUUUUCAUAUCUCAAAAGUUUAGCACUCUUUCUAGCACUUAGUUUUAGAGUGCAAGUAGGUCCAGACUAGCAAAAUCGAGACAGAAUUGCUCAUUUUCAAGGAGGAAGGUGGGUGCUACACGGAUUAUUUGAGCAAAAUCGCUAGCUCCCUGACAAUAUGCUUUCUUAAAAAUUCACAAAUAAUAUUUAACAAAGAUAGUUAUAGUUUAAAAACUGUGGUCAUAACUGCAUUUACAUACUAUAGUUAGUUAAUUCGCGAAUAAUUAGCAUGUUAUUGGCAAACAAUUGAAAAACUAAAUAAAUUGAUCCGUCUGCAAAGUCUUUUUAAAAGUUGUAACAACAUUCCUUUUGUAUGUAUUUUUUUUUUGUUGAUCAUAGCAUUCGCAAUUAAAAUGCCUGCGCCGAAUGGUAUGUUGAAGAAUUCGAACUGGACAACUACGGAAAGAUAAAAUUUCUCGGAUCGGCACCGUGUCGAUCCGAGCAUCUCCACCCUAUCAAUCGAGCCACCUUUCCUCUUCGAUCUUGAGGAAAACAUGAAAAUGAAAAAAGCAGUGCACCGCGCGAUUGAAGCAUCGCGUUGCACGAGCUAAUAUGGGCCUUGUGGACAGCAUCCAUCAUGGACUUUUUUUAUUUGAGAGAUGGGUAGCAUACUAUCCGCUUCGUUUAUUUCAUUUAAAAAUAAACUUAGCUGAAAAAGUAAAUCAACUAGGAUUCGAACUCAAAACCUCGGGUACUAACAACCAAGCUCUUUGCCACUAGCACUAGAGAUAGUCAGUUAUAAAUCUAUACUUUUAUAUGGUUGCUACAUCUAUCGAUAUUAUAUUAUUUAUAAAAGGCUAUUUUUGUUUGCUCUUUUGUCUUUUCCUUCCAAAAUUGCCACUCUUUUGUAAUAUAAUGUCAAUUUUUUUUAAAAAAUAAUAUCUUAUAUACCUUUCAAAAUUUUUAAAAUUUCUUAUAUAUUGUUAUUUUUUGUUUCAAAUAUAUUCUUUGUAUAUUUUUUCGUUAUUUAAAAAUAAUCCAGCUAUUAAAACCCGCUAAGUCAUCCUCGAUUAAAUCUUAAUUAAAUUGUUAUCAGAGUUAAAAAAAAAUCAAAAUAUUUUUUUUUUCUAAGUUAUGAGUAAAUAAGAAAAGUUGGUGACGGUACAAGGUUAUAUUUGAAAGGAUAAAAGUCAAAAUACUUUUUUUGUUCCUAACAUAAAGGCAAAUAAACCGACCGUCCCUAAAGCAAGUGGCAAAGGGCUCGGUGGUUGGUAUCUAAGACCCAAGUUAGAAUCCUAGUUGAUUCACAUUUCCAGCUAAGUUUAUUUCUAAAUGAAAUAAACGAAGCGGGUAGCGUACUACCUAUCUCUCAAAAAAAAUAUAUAUAAAGGCAAAUAAGAAAAUUUAGUAAUAGUAAAAAAGUAUAUUUAAAAAGUCAAAACAGUAGUUUUUCAAAGAUAACGACUGUUUCUAACUGUUUCUAACUGUUCACUUACAGAAUUUAACUAUAAAGAUAUAUUUAAAAGAAUUUGAAAUAUUAAAAAAAUAUUUUUUAUAUUAACUUUCUAAAAACAUAAAUAAAUAAAUGAAAAUUUUUCGGAGAUAUAAGUAUUCGCCCCUUGAAAGACAAAACCAUACAAACUUGCCCCAUCCACGAGGCGCCUAUCCCAUAUUUUUUUUCAUUUUACUUUUCUUUUUCUUUUUUUAAUUUUAAUUUUACUAGGUUUAUCUUUUUUUCUAUUUUUAUUUGUAUUUCUAUUCUUUAUUAAAAAAUAAAAAUAUAUAUUUUUAAAGAAACACUACCACUUCCUCGUACGGAAGUGUUCCCCACUAGAGAGAUGCACGGGUCAAUUCCGUUACGCUUCAAACGUCAAAACAUAAAAUGUGUUUGCAUUUACCCUUCAAUUUCCUCCUUUUCCCUUUGCAAUUAGCGCAUGUUUAAUAUAAAGUAAUUGAGAUUUGAAUGAGAAAUAAGAUAUAUUUGCUUGGAUUAAGAGAUUGAUACUUCGAUUUUCAUUUCGGGAAUAUUAAAAUUCCUCAAAAAUGAAGUCAAAUUUGAUUUUGCAAUAAUUGAGAAAAAAAAUCACUAAUAAUUAUUCGAAUUCAAACAUAAAUCAUACAGAUUCAUUAGAAAAUUUAAAAUUUUAAUUUAAAACUUUGACUUUGAUGUUAAAUUUGAAUUAUAAGUUCAAAUUUGAAAAAUAAAUUUAAAUGUUGAAUCUUAAUUUGAACAUAAUUACGAUUUCAAAUUCUUUUUCAACCAAAUGUGCUUUUAAUGUGGGACAAAGUUGGUCAAAUUCGAGGGACGUGUCCUUUCAACUUUGAAUGCAGUAGCUUGAUCAAUCCCCUCCUACAAGCACCCACAAGUCUCGGUCGAAGCAGUGUGAAUUUGAAUGGCUCCAUCGGGUUCAAUCAACUUGACCCGAACUAGGACUAUUGACCCGAACCCGUUUGAGAAGUUCCUAUUGUUUUUUGCAUUGUACUUACCAUGCAAAUACCAAAUAUUUUCUACCUUAACGGGCUAUAAAAAAACCCGUCUCAUUGUAUAGUUCUCUAUCAAAUUUUGUAUCCUGAAUCAAAACGUGAGAGAUACACAAGCAAAAAAACAAUGGCAAAAGGGUGUAAUGCCAUGGAAGUGAUGCUAAUACUCAUAUUGUUGAUAUGUAGCUCAUACUCUCUGUCGAUGGCGAGGCCGUUAGAGAUCAUCAGAGGUAAUCUGGGAGUGUUCGAGUCUAUUCCGCAAGGACAAGUUCCUUCAACGGGGCACUCGGGAUGCACCAGUGACUCCAACAGUAAGAACGGAUUUUGUCCGAAUCCGCCUCGCGUCGGAGAUGAUCUGGGUGUAGUGUUUGAGUCUCUUCAACAAGGACUAGUUCCGCCAAUGGGGCCCUCGGACUGCACCAGUAACCCCUCAAGUAAGGGUGGGUUUUGUCCGAACCCACCACGAGGUUAAACGCGAUUUGCUAACACAAUAUUGAUGAUUUGUGGGAAAGGGUGCAACUCCUAUUUUAAUAAAUAAACAUGGGGGGUUAAUUAGAUCGAAUAACAAAGCAUGUGUGACAUGCUCAGUGUCCGUGGAUUGUUUAUUUGUUUCUUUUUUAUCAUAAGGUGUAUUAAUUAUUUAUCUCAAGUGCAUUUACCUAGCUCAAUAGUCCAAACACAAUUGGAACCAUUUCUUUUUUACUUUUUUUUUUUCUUUGCAUUUUGAAAGUUGUGUGUUAUGCGCGCAACCGUCCGGUCCCCAUGCAUCAUACUAUGUUUAUGUCAUAGUGGUUUUUAUAAUAGCACUUUAACUUCUUAAUUAAUUAUCAUCCUCUCAUAUAAACCAGUUUUGACACACGCUUGCGAUCACAAAAUUCUUAUUUAAUAUGGAGUGUCGAGUAAGAAUCACCCGUAACUAAGUUUNCAUAUUGGUGUAACUCAUUUUGCAGUUAUUAUAUCAUCAUCUAAAAUGUAUACUGAGGUUUUCUAUGUUUUCAUCGAAAACCAAAUGGCUUGGCGAUUAAAUAGAAAAUCCAAACAAUAAGAGAUUCUUAGAAAAUAUAUAUACAUGUGGUGAUGGUGAUUGCAUUGGAUUGCUUGUUCAAAUAAAGUUUUAACACUUAGGUGCGUUUGGUUCGCGCUAUCCUUUUAAGAUUUCUAGUAAUCCAAUAAAAAUAAAAAAAUAUAACGAUAUUUGGCUAAACGCACUAAGUAAUCUAGUUGGUAAUAUUAGAUUUACUUGUGAAUGAGAUGCAUCCCAAAGUACUAAUCUCAUUCCUUUGAGGGAGGGUGGGUAUUCUUAUAUUAACGGAUUGGGGUAAUUAUAAUAUGUCUAAUCUCUUUCUUUUUUCCUACCGGCCGGCUAGUUGGUAUUAUUUUUCUUUACACUCUAACCUCAUAUCUCUCUCUAAAUUUUUCUUUUUCUCUCUCUAAACUAAGUUAUUUGUCCCCCUAUUUUUCUAAAAUCUCAACCCUCUCAUUCUCUCUAAUCUCGAUUCUAUUUCUCUUCCUAUUUCUUUAAUUAUACUCUCUCUUUCUAAUUUAUAUUCUCUCUCUCUUUUUUCUAAAAAGAUGUUGAAAUUUUUUUAUAGUAUUAUUUAAAAUUAAUUAAAAAAAUUAAUUAAUUAAUUAUAUAUUUUUCGUAAUCUUAAAUAAUAUUGAUUAAAUAAUAUGACCGUACGAACCAAACACCGAAAUACUAUAUUCCUAGUAAUAGGAUGAAUAGUAAUAAGAUUCUCGAAUAUCAUUUUACUCCAAGUAAUCUUUCAUAGUGCGAACCAAACGCACCCUUAUCUUCAUGCAGUACUGCUAUCCACUGGAAGUAGAUUGCAUUUUAAAGCAUAUCUAUUUUACCUUCACAUAUUAUUUGAUUAACUUUCUUAUUUUGAAUACCCCUUUUUAUAAGAAAUUUCUGCAUUACUAGGAGCAUAGUUUUAAUUAAAGAUUUUGCUUUUUAAGUGGAUCAAAUUCUCAUACAACUUCCCUAUCAAACUAUGUAUCCCUAAGUUUCGUCGUCAUGUACUUAAUUUCUGCUUCUCGAAUAGAGAAAUUGCUAAGAAAAUCGAUUCAGAUAGGUAUUUAGGAACUCAAAAUUGUUGAAAGGGAAGAUCCAAAUCUGAAACUUAACUGAAAUAUUAAGGCGAAGAAAACAGUUUCAGAUUGAAAGAAAACCUUCACUAAUAUUUCCUGAGCACACUCAACUUUUUCUAGGAUUUGCUNUCAAUUUUUUUAAAAAAAAUAAUAUCUUAUAUACCUUUCAAAAUUUUUAAAAUUUCUUAUAUAUUGUUACUUUUUUGUUUCAAAUAUAUCCUUCGUAUAUUUUUUCGUUAUUUAAAAAUAAUCUAUUUGUUAAUACCCGCUAAGUCAUCAUCGAUUAAAUCUGAAUUAAAUUUUUAUCAGAGUUAAAAAAAAUCAAAAUAUUUUUUUUUCUAAGUUAUGAGUAAAUAAGAAAAGUUGGUGACGAUACAAGAUUAUAUUUGAAGGGGAUAAAGUCAAAAUAUUUUUUUUUGCUCCUAAUAUAAAGGCAAAUAAAGAAAAUUUAGUAAUAGUAAAAAUUAUAUUUAAAAAUAGCAGUUUUAUAGAGAUAACGGUUGUUCCUAACAGUUUACUCAUAGAAUUUAACUCUAAAAAUAUAUUUAAAAGAAUUUAAAAUAUUAAAAAAAAAAUUUAUAUUAACUUUCUAAAAAAAUAAAUAAAUAAAUGAAAAUUUUCUCGAGAUAUAAGUGAUUGCCCCCUAAAAAACAUAACCACACGACUUGCGCGCGAAGGAAGCCCCAUCCACGAGGCUCCUUUCCCAUAUUUUUUUCAUUUUACUUUUUUUUUUAAAAUUUUAAUUUUACUAGGUUUAUCCUUUUUUUCUAUUUUUAUUUGUAUUUCUAUUCUUUAUUAAAAAAAUAAAAAAAUUCAUUUUUCUAAAGAAACACUACCACUUCCUCGUACGGAUGUGUACCCCACUGGUGAGAUGCACGGGUCAAUUCCGUUAUGCUUCAAAAGUCAAAACAUAAAAUGUGUUUGCAUUUACCCUUCAAUAUAUUUCCUCCUUUUCCCUUUGCAAUUAGCGCAUGUUUAAUUUAAAGUAAUUGAGAUUUGAAUGAGAAAUAAGAUAUAUUUGCUUGGAUUAAGAGAUUGAUACUUCGAUUUUCAUUUCGGGAAUAUUAAAAUUCCUCAAAAAUGAAGUCAAUAAGUUCAAAUUUGAACAAUAAAUUUAAAUGUUGAAUCUUAAUUUGAACAUAAUUACGAUUUCAAAUUCUUUUUCAACCAAAUGUGCUUUUAAUGUGGGACAAAGUUGGUCAAAUUCGAGGGACGUGUCCUUACAACUUUGAAUGCAGUAGCUUGAUCAAUCCCCUCCUACAAGCACCCACAAGUCUCGGUCGAAGCAGUGUGAAUUUGAAUGGCUCCAUCGGGUCCAAUCAACUUGACCCGAACUAGGACUAUUGACCCGAACCCGUUUGAGAAUUUCCUAUUGUUUUUUGCAUUGUCCUUACCAUGCAAAUACCAAAUAUUUUCCUACCUUAACGGCCUAUAAAAAAACCCGUCUCAUUGUAUAGUUCCCUAUCAAAUUUUGUAUCCUGAAUCAAAACGUGAGAGAUACACAAGCAAAAAAAAAAUGGCAAAAGGGUGUAAUGCCAUGGAAGUGAUGCUAGUACUCAUAUUGUUGAUAUGUAGCCCAUACUCUCUGUCGAUGGCGAGGCCGUUAGAGAUCACCGGAGGUAAUCUGGGAGUGUUCGAGUCUAUUCUGCAAGGACAAGUCCCUUCAACGGGGCACUCGGGAUGCACCAGUGACUCCAACAGUAAGAACGGAUUUUGUCCGAAUCCGCCUCGCGUCGGAGACGAUCUGGGUGUAGUGUUUGAGUCUCUUCAACAAGGACUAGUUCCGCCAAUGGGGCCCUUGGACUGCACCAGUAACCCCGCAAGUAAGGGUGGGUUUUGCCCGAACCCACCGCGAGGUUAAACGCGAUUUGCUAACACAAUAUUGAUGAUUUGUGGGAAAGGGUGCAACUCCUAUUUUAAUAAAUAAACAUAGGGGGUUAAUUAGAUCGAAUAACAAAGCAUGUGUGACAUGCUCAGUGUCCGUGGAUUGUUUAUUUGUUUCUUUUUUAUCAUAAGGUGUAUUAUUUAUCUCAAGUGCAUUUACCUAGCUCAAUAGUCCAAACACAAUUGGAACCAUUUCUUUUUUACUUUUUUUUUUCUUUGUAUUUUGAAAGUUGUGUGUUAUGCGCGCAACCGUCCGGUCCCCAUGCAUCAUACUAUGUUUAUGUCAUAGUGGUUUUUAUAAUAGCACUUUAACUUCUUAAUUAAUUAUCAUUCUCGCAUAUAAACCAGUUUUGACACACGCUUGCGAUCACAAAAUUCUUAUUUAAUAUGGAGUGUCGAGUAAGAAUCACCCGUAACUAAGUUUCAUUUUGCGGAUUAAAGUAGAGUGUGGCACUAUAUAUAAGUGUAUUUUUUUUUUUUUUUUUUUUUUUUUUUUUUUUUGAAAAAUAGGUAGCAAGCUACCUGCUUCAUUCAUUAAGCAAAAUGAAUUUAGCAUACAAUUUGGAAGCAGCUAGGACCUCCGAACCGAGGGAAUAAGAGAAAAAAACAAGAGAACAAACACCAGGUCCGUGAGACCCAGGAAACACGAGCAAACCAAAAUAAACAAAAAAAACAAAGGGAAAUCAGAGGGCAGCGCAACGGGGCCGGGAAAGAUUCAAAGUGCUUCGUUCCAGGUUUCGAUCAAAACAGAAACACGUUCGAGAGCCCUGCAAACAUUAAGGGGCACGUCGCGGAAGCAAAUGCCGUUACGCUCCGUCCAGACAACCCACCAAAUUGCCGCCAACUUGAUUAAAAUUUUUGAUCUUGUAUAUAUAAGUGUAUUCUUAGUUGCCAAUGCAAUUUGGAAGAGGAUGUUCAAGCCCUAAAAUAUGAACCCUUAACCUCACCCAACAAGUCAUUCUUGAGAUAAAUUAAUGAGAUCGAAGAAGAAGUUCCUCUCAAGAUCGGGGAGGAGGCUGCAUGCAGCAGCUCGGGAAGAAGCAACUCCUCAUUAACGAAAGUUCUAAUGAUUUGAUACUAUUAGAAGUAUUGUAGCUCAGUUAUAACACAUCAUUCGUUGCCUCAAAAGCAGAUUACGGUGUCGCAGCUAAUGACUGCACUUUUCAAUCUCAUUUCAUACUAGGACAAAUUUUCUUUUCUCGAACGGAAUCCUGGAUGCGCCAGCUAAAUAGUGAACUAUUACAUCCUGAGACGGUUUCAAAUGAAAGGAAGCGAAAGAAAACCGAUUCUUAUGGAGAGGAUUAAUAUUGCCUCUCUUUUUCAGUUGAAGGAUGCAAUUCUCAGUAGGAUCGAGCAAAGAAUUGCGGCUUGGCGUUUAUUUUUCUAUUUUUUUUAAAAAAAAUAGAAUUUCCAUAUACAGUGUAUUACUUGAAAUUCUUUUAUUCAAGAUAUUUAUUUGGUAACAAAGAGUAUAAAACUUGGAAACAAUUUUUUUUUUGCCUCCGAAAUUCUUUAAAAGAAGUUUUCAUCUAUCACUUGGAUUGGUGCAUCGCAAACUAAUGAAUAAUGAUAAUAAAAGAAAAUUCCUUCUAUCAAUAUAUGAAAUUAUAUAGAAUUAGUGUGUUUAGAAUAUAAAAAAUAACAACGAUGCCAAAUAAGACCUAAGUCUACAAUCGAAUAAAAAGAGAGAUGAUAAGAUUUGCAAGAAAAGGUGACUUUUGAGUAGAAGAAUUGUAGGAUUAUAACCCACUUUAGAUUGUUGCUCAUUUAAGGCCCCGUUUGGAUACUCCUGAACUAUGCUACGGCGGUAGGAAAAACAUCCUAUGAAGCGUUUGGGAGGAAAAAAAAGUAACGUAAUUUUUGAAGUAUAGUUAAACUAUACUCCAAAAAAUGGAGUAAAAGUAUAAUCCACUCUAACCAAAGGAAAAAAAUUCCACCACUCUUGAGCUCCCUUAUUCAAAAAAAUGCAUCAAGUUCUAACUUUUAAAUUUCAACAUAAAAUUUUAAAUUUCAACAUAGAUUUUAAAUUUCAACAUAGAUUUAAAAUUUAAAAUUUGAAAUUUGAAAUAUCACAUUUGAAAUUUUAAAUUAAAAUUUUAAAUUUUAAAUUUUAAAUUUUUAAAUUUCAAACUUUAAAUUUUAAAUUUCAAAUUUCAAAUUUAAAUUUCAAUUUAAAUUUCAAUUUUAAAUUUCAAAUUUAAAUUUCAAAUUAAUCCUUCAAAUUUCAAAAUUUAAAUUUUCAAAUUUCAAAUUUAAAUUUCAAAUUUAAAUUUUAAAUUUAUUUUUUUUAAUUUAAAAUUUAAAAUUAAAAUCUAAAUUUAAAAUUUUAAAUUUUAAAUUUAAAUUUUAUUUUUUUUUUAAUAAAAUUUCAAAUAUAAAUUUUAAAUUUAAAUUUUAAAUUUUAAAUUUCAAACUUUAAAUUUUAAAUUUUAAUUUAAAAUUUAAAAUUUAAAAUUUAAAUUUCAAUUUCAAAUUUUAAAUUUGAAAUUUCAAAUCUCAAGUCUUAUAGUUCAAAUUUCAAAUUCUAAACUUUAAAUUUUAAAUUUAUUUUUUAAACUUUAAAUUUUAAAUUUAUUUUUUAAAUUUAAAAUUCUAAAUUUCAAUUUUCAAAUUUUAAAUUUUAAAUUUUUUAUUUUAAAAUUUUAAAUUUAAAAUUUUAAAAAUUUAAAAAUUAAAUUUAGAUUUUUAAAUUUUAAAUUUUAAAUUUGUAAAUUUAAAAUUUGAAAAUUUAAAAUUUAAAAUUCAAAAUUCAAAAUUUCACAUUUCACAUAUCAAAUUUUAAAUUUUAAAUUUUUUUUGAAAUUUUAAAUUUUAACUUUUAAUCUUAAAAUUUAGAAAAAUUCUGUGAAAUUGUACAAUGCGUAUCCAAACAGUUUAAAAAUUAAAUCCGUGGAAUUUUUUUAGAGUUGCAGGAUUCUCUAUUUUAUCUAGGCCGAAACCACAGUUUAUAAAUUCCGUGGAGAUAUUUUACUGUGUAUCCAAACAGACCCUAAGAAUGAGGCUUUAGUGGGAAUCUUACACAGUUUUAGACUAAAUUAUAAAAAGCUCCCCCGCACUUUAGGCCCAAUCUCAAUACACUCCUAUAUUAAAAAUUAUAUUAUUUAUCCUUCUACACUUAGUCACCAUCUCAAAUAGAUCUAAACAAUUUGAAGAAUAGGCAAAUAAGAAUGUAAAACUUUGUUAAAACGAGUUAACAUAUUAUAUUAUUCUACAUCUCAAUAUAUAUCUAAUUUUGAAACUCAACAAGUAUAUAAAAAUUUAAAAAAAGGAGAUAUUUUAUUUUUCUAAUACUAUAAAAAUUGAUAGUUUCUUGAGCAAUUUAUUUAAUUAUACCAAAAUUAUUUUUAUAAGGUUUUAUAGUUAACUUCAAUAAUUACUCAAAAUAGCUGGAUCUAUUUAAUGUAAUAAUAAAAUAGAGGGGAUAAUUUAUGUAUUUUUAUGUGGAGGGGUAAUUGAAAUAAGCGUGGCAAUCCAAAGAGUUUUUAUUUUUAUGUUAGCCAUAUAGAGUUAGACUCCUGCGCUUUCGAAAGUAAGGAGGCUUAUACUUAUAAGCUGUUUUUAAUAUUGGGAUCGAUUUUGUUAGACAUAAUCUACAAUGUUGGAAUUAUCUGGAAACUAAAUUUUAUAAUUUUUUGAUUUCGUUUACCUAGGGAAGGAGCAACCUAAAAAAUAAACGAAUAAAAAUAAACAUUUCAUAAAAAAAGUGAUAAAAGACUCAAAUUACAAAUCAGAAUUAUUGAUCUUAUAUUUGAUGUUAAGUAGAAUUUUCUAUUAAAAAUUCAUGUAAUUUGAAUUAAUUUAGAUUGUUUUCCAUUGUUGAGCUUAAAAAUGUGCCACAUCGAUCAAUCGUUAAAAUAGUUAUUUAUAAAAUUCUUUGAUCACUUAAUAAAUGAUAUUAAAAAAUUAUAAAAUUUAAUUUCUAAAUAAUUCUAAUAUUGUAUAUCAUGUCUAAUACAACAUAUUGUUGAAUUGAGUAUCUUAUCAUCAAAAAUAACUUAUAAUCAUGAAAAACCUGUGUGCUUUUAAAAUCACGGGAGAGCUAGCGUACUACUCUAGCCAAAUGUUUACCUAAAAACUAGGAAAAAUUUCAAAUACCACCCCUGUAAUUUCAUAUUUUCUUACUUUAGCAUCCUAUGGUUUAAAGUGUAUCAAUUUAGUGCCAUGUGAUUUCAUUUUUAUUUUUUUAUUAUCGAUUCUACUAAUUUUUUUCAUUAAAUCAGUGACAAAAUUAAAACUAAAGGGUAUUAAAGUGAAUAUUCGAUAAAUCUAGAUGCAGUAUUUGAAGUUUUUUAUAUAUAAUUUAAUAAAAUAUUAACAAAAAUACUGACGAAAAGAUAGAAAUAAAACCACAUGACGCUAAUUUGAUACACUUAAAUCAUAUGGUACUAAAGUCAGAAACUACGAAACUACAGGGUUGGUAUUUGAAGUUUACCCUAAAAACUAUAAUUCAAAAAUCCAACGGUCGACUCCGUGGGCGCGGAAACUCCAGCAAAAGCAGAUAUUGAAAGCAGAGUUAGACCUCCCGGCAAUUUCUGUGGGCGCCGCUAAUUAACAUCCCCUCCCCUCCAUACUCCAAUUCUAUAAAGAUCGAGCUUCUCCACCCAUCCAAUUUCUCACGCUUGAUAAUAAUAAUAAUAAUAAUAAUAAUAAUAAUAAUAAUUAUAAUGGUGAUGGGGUUGGGAUUUCGCUGCGCCCUCGCCGUCCUCUCUCUUCUCUUCGUCGUCUCCCUCACGCUCGUUCUCCGCGAGGAGACGAGCGGUGGGCCCGUCGCCUUCGACCCCGCGAGGGUCACCCAGGUCUCGUGGAAGCCCAGGUUUCAGUUCUCCAAUCUCUUCUCUCUUUUGUUCGAGUUUUUUAUCUUGACAUUAUCGGAUAGGAAAGAAAUUAUAAUUUGUUAAAUGUCCCUCCAAAUUUGAUUGCAGUUUAAUUUGCAGUGCGAUAAAUUUUUUAAAAAAAGUGUGAAGAAAAAAAAUAGACAUUUGUAGCAGUUAGCAUCAACCUGAGCCCGUUAAAAAACUCCUUUCUUCUUUUCACUGUAGAGACGAUACAGCGUAUUGUACUUCCACAAUAUUGUGAAGUUUUCUAUUUUUUCGUUUGUAAUUUUUUUUUUUGCAAAAAAAUUUUCACGUAAAUCUUUAUGUUCCAUUUUAUUUUAUUAUCUCGUAGUUUGUCCACAUUGCGAUCGUCAUUUUUCAUUUCUGUUUGUACGCUCAUCGUAAUAUAAUUAAAAAUAUAAGGAUUAUAGAUUGGGCUUAAAUAUUUUGAGCCAAUAGUUCGUGACUAUAUUUUCGAUAAUAGUUGUGAAGCCAUUUUAAAAUUUUAAAAAAAUUUAGAUUUUUUUUUUUUUUUUUUUUUUUUUUGUGCAGGGUUUUCUUGUAUAAGAGGUUUCUUUCUGAUGAAGAGUGCGACCACCUGAUCAAGUUGGUAUGUGGAUUAACUUAUUUUUGAUGCACCUCAACUUACUUAUAGGCUAUUCUGAAAUAAGCUUCUGAACAUUAUAUUUAUUUUUAUUUUUUUAAUGAUAUCAUUUGUUUUAAUUGCUUUUACUUAAUAUUGUGCCUAGAAGAUGAAUUGAAAUUUCCGUUUAGUUUGAGAAUGUUGGUUUGAAAUAACUCAAAUUAAAAGAAACAAAAGUUGAGGGGUGCUGAAAAACAAACAGAAGCAGAAUUUGAGGGUAUAUUUCAAAAAUACGCUAUAGUUGAAGAACCGGUUCUUCAUACAUUUUUACAUCAAUCUCUCUUAUAUGUCCUCACUUUACUUAUUCUUGAUUCGGUUUGGAUUAUGAGUAGGCAAAGAGUAAGCUGGCGAAAUCGAUGGUCGCGGAUAAUGAGUCGGGGAAGAGUGUGAUGAGCAAUGUUCGGACGAGCUCCGGCAUGUUCUUGAUGAAGCGUCAGGUAUUUCUCCGAUUACCGGAUUUACAUCAAGAGAGAGAUUCAGGGUUGAUGUUACAAAAUACCAAAAUUGAAGUUCAACAUGUGCAGAAAAUGUCUGACGAAUUUUUCAGCAUAGUAAUACCGACAGAUUCGCUAAAUCGUAUCACAACAAUUGAUAAAACAGGAUUAAGAAAAAUGAGAAUAACACCCCUUUCCAUGCAGGACGCAAUUGUCGCCAGAAUUGAGCAAAGAAUCGCUGCCUGGACCUUCCUGCCCGAAGGUAAUUCAUAUGAAUUUCUGUUCCUACUGACCGACAGAUUCCUAUUAACUUUUUCUUUUUUAAAAAAAUUUUCUACCUAACACAUUCUGAAAUCAGAAAAUGCCGAGCCCAUUCAAGUGCUGCGGUACGGAAUCGGUCAGAAGUACGAGCCACAUUUCGAUUAUUUUUAUGACCAAAUAAAUCAAGUACGCGGUGGUCAUCGCGCAGCGACAGUGCUUAUGUAUCUAUCUGACGUAGAAAAGGGCGGGGAGACGGUCUUUCCUAAUGCUGAGGUGCGUAAAUUUCGUUACUUAAACCGUCGUCUAUGCUAAGUUAAGAUCACGCAUCGUAAGUGGUUGUGAUUAUUAUUUCUAGGGAUGGGAAUCUCAACCUAAGGACGACUCUUGGUCCGAUUGUGCAAGAGGCGGUUAUGCAGGUAAGUUUCAUCUUAUGUUUUGAAAAGAACAUGUUUCUCAAGCUAUAAUACAUCUUAGUGGAAAAGCAUUUUCUGCGACGAGAAGCUGAAAUGAACUUUUCAGUAUUCGUUUUAGUAUUCCUUUCAGCACUCAAAUUAGUUAUCUCUGCUGCAGUAAAACCUACCAAGGGCGAUGCGGUUCUCUUCUUUAGCCUUAACAUCGACAGCACGACAGACCCACACAGUUUGCAUGGGAGCUGCCCGGUAAUAGAAGGCGAGAAAUGGUCUGCACCGAAAUGGAUUCAUGUGAGAUCCUACGACAAAUUGGAGAUGAACAUCAACUCUGGCAGGAGCAGGAAAUGCUCUGAUGAGAAUGUGAUGUGCCCACAGUGGGCAGCUGCAGGGGAGUGUCUGAAGAACUCUCUGUACAUGGUCGGAAUCAACGAUACGCACGGAUUUUGUCGCAAGAGUUGUGGAAUAUGUGACUCAUAGUAAUUGUAAAUUCUUUUUUCUUUUUUUUUUUCCUUUCUCUACUUGAGAUGCACAUAUUGGUGUAACUCAUUUUGCAGUUAUUAUAUCAUCAUCUAAAAUGUAUGCUGAGGUUUUCUAUGUUUUCAUCGAAAACCAAAUGGCUUGGCGAUUAAAUAGAAAAUCCAAACAAUAAGAGAUUAUACAUGUGGUGAUGGUGAUUGCAUUGGAUUGCUUGUUCAAAUGAAGUUUUAACACUUAUCUUCAUGCAGUACUGCUAUCCACUGGAAGUAGAUUGCAUUUUAAAGCAUAUCUAUUUUACCAUCACAUAUUAUUUGAUUAACUUUCUUAUUUUGAAUACCCCUUUUUAUAAGAAAUUUCUGCAUUACUAGGAGCAUAGUUUUAAUUAAAGAUUUUGCUUUUUAAGUGGAUCAAAUUCUCAUUCAACUUCCCUAUCAAACUAUGUAUCCCUAAGUUUCGUCGUCAUGUACUUAAUUUCUGCUUCUCGAAUAGAGGAAUUGCUAAGAAAAUCGAUUCAGAUAGGUAUUUAGGAACUCAAAAUUGUUGAAAGGGAAGAUCCAAAUCUGAAACUUAACUGAAAUAUUAAGGCGAAGAAAACAGUUUCAGAUUGAAAGAAAACCUUCACUAAUAUUUUCUGAGCACACUCAACUUUUUCUAGGAUUUGCUACNAAAAAAAAAAAAAAAAAAAGGUGGCUCAGAUUCCCUGUAAGCCAACCCAUAAUUGCCUGUAGAAUAUGUUCUCUUCUUUAGUGGCCAAAACAUCCUAUACCUCAAUCCUUUUUUUUUUCUUUUUCACUUUCCCAAUAAGUUCAUUGAGUAAAGGUGCAGGGUUGCAUUACCAAAUGAAGCCUUGAAGGCAUAAUCUGAUCUGUUCAUCUUAGUUUAAUGUAUAGAGAAUUGGAUAGUGAUUUUAAGAAUAAUUCAGGUUACUGAUCGUCCCUUUAGCAAGUGGCAAAGGGCUUGGUGGUUGAUACCUGACAUCCCAAGUUCGAAUCCUAGUUGAUUUAUAUUUCUACCUAAGUUUAUUUCUAAAUGAAAUAAACGAAGCGGGUAACGUGAUACCUAUCUCUCCAAAAAAAAAAAGAAUAAUAAUUUAGAUUGUUUAUUAUUAUAAAAACAAAAACUAAGGAAAAGGAUAUACAAGUUGAUAUUUUAAGGCUUUGUUCGUUAUUAUAUUCGGCUCCUGAGUUUGACAUGACUAGUCUAUUUAGCAUUAAUAAUUUGUCGGGUUAAAUAUUGACAGAAAAUGCUUAAGUUCAAGUUACUAAUUAUAUGUUAAUGCACAAGUAAGAUAGAAUGAGUGGGUUGUUUUUGUUCUAAAAGGAAAAAAUAAAAAAAGACCUUUUAAGAUUUGCAUUUAUGGAUCAUGGAACCUUGAUCCCCUAUUUUAAGCAAAAGCAAAGAUGAAGGCUAAUAACAGCAUGGAACUUUAUUCUAUUAUUAUUCUCUUACUUUUGAGCUGAUAACUAAAAUUAUUUAUGAACAUAUCUUUUGGUCUAACUACAAAAAGGAUCACUAUUUAUAAUUAUUCUUCUCAUUAUGAGAAAAUCAAAUUAACUAAACAACAAUAAUAUGCUCAUAAAGAACAUAAAGUAGAUGAAAGAGAAUAUAUGGGAGAGAAAUUAAAAAAAAAAAGCCAUAUAAAUUAAUUACUUGAAUUUUUUUUUUUUUAAGUCAUCUGGUUUAUAAUACACAUUAUGAUAUUAGAAUUGCAAUUUGGGUCCAUGCUAUUGCCAACCACAUACAUGUCAACCAAAGCCCUGCACGAAAUAGAUUAUAAAAAAAUCAUUUAUUAGCUACAAUUCAUGAUAGAAUUUUGGUAAAAAUGUAUGAAGACCCAUCAACUUUAUGCAGUUCUGAAAUAGCCCCUUGCCCUAUGAUUUUCUAGCUGAUUGAACCCCCUCUCAACUUUUGAUUUUUUUUUACCAAGUUAAUUAACAAGAACUGUGAUUUUUUGAUUCAGACCCCCUCCAUAGAAUCGAGUGAUUUUAGCUAAAUAAAUAAAAAAUUUACCAAAGUGAUCGGUAAUUUUAUCAAAUUUAAUAGUUUAAACUAAUUUAUAGAGAAUAAAACUGGAUUAUAUAAACUGCUUAUAACUAAUUCAAUCAUGAAAUUCAACAAAACUGUUUAACUAAAUUGACUACAGAAACUCAAACUAAAUUAAUACAGAAAUUAAAGAGUGUCAAUCAAAACAAUUAAAAUUGGGAGCUCUAUUUCAUNAAAUUAAAUUUCAUAAUUUUUCGGUAUCAUUAACCUAUCAAACGAGUAGUCUAAAAAUGAACGGCUGAAAAUAAAAAUCUCAUAAAAAUGAUGAUAGAAAACUUGAAUUUAAGAUCAGGGCUACUGAUCUUACUCUAAAUAGUAAAAAAAAAAAUUUAUAAAAAUUUCAUCUGAUUUGAAUUAUUUUACGCCGUUAUAUUUACAAAUGUAUCACAUCUACCAUUAAAAUUGUCAAUUUUGAGACCUUUUGAUCACUAGCCAAAUGAUGUCGAAAAAUUUUGAGAUUUAGUUUCCAAAUACUUUCAAUAGUAUAGAUCAAGUCUAACGGAGCCGAUCGUUGAUUUGAAAGCCGCAUCAUCGAAAACAACUUAAUAGCACGGAAGGCUCAAUUUGAAGUCCAGCUCAAAGGAAGGCUCAAUUUGAAGUGAUCAAGAAUUAGCAAAUAAGAGCUAAUAUAGAGAAAUAUGCCACGAGUAAUAAACAUAUAAUAGAUUAGAAAUUUGACAUGGCUCAAAAGUUUAGAGUCCCAAAAAAAAAUAUUGGAAAAUUCAGUUAAUAAAAUAAAAUUAGAAUGAACUAAUUAAGAGCAUAUAAAAGUACAAAAUUAAUUCUCAGACGCAAUUAUUCAGAUUUUUAUUAAAUUAAGUACUAAUGUGAAAUUGGUAGGUAAAACAUGAUAUGAAAUGGUGAUUUAACCCAUGUGAAAUGUGACACCACCUUAUAGUCGGUUGGGGAUUAAGAAUUUAUGACUUCAGUACAAGAAAUAUUUAUUAGUAAUUAAGUAUUGAUAACUAAUUUAUGUAACUAUUCUGGAUAAUCAAAUAUUUGCGAACUAUUUGUGAAUUUUAAUUUUUUUUUAAAAAAAAAUUGAAAAUAUUUUGUUACUAUAGUAUAUCUUGAAUAUAAAAUAUAAAAAUACUAUUAUUUAAUAACAGCAUAAAUUAUUAAAAUAUAAUAAUUAUUUUACAUAAUUUAAUGUAAUAUCGGAGUAGAAAGUUCUGAAUUAGUAAGCUCUUACCGAGCGGCAAAAUACGGCGGCGAGCGCCACCGCUGCUCCACGAGGCGGCGGAGGCGGCGAAGUAGCAAUUCGUGGACGAGUUCAUGCCGUUGCCGCAGCUGCAGGCGAACGAGUUGUACACCGCGGCGGUGGCGGUGGCGGUGGCGGUGGCGGCGGUGGCGUAGCCGCACAUGCCGCCGCUCUUCUCGCAGUCGGCGCAGGCGCUGGGGAAGCCGUCGUCGGCGCUGAACCUGUACUUGAGCGCGAUCCCGAAGUCCCACUCGUCCGGCCUCGUCUCGGCGCCGUUGAAGCCGCGCACGGCCGCGUAGGACGCGCAGCGGAGCUGGGUCAGGUCGACGUCGAACGCGGGGCCGAGGCUCGCGGGCGCGUAGACGCAGCAGGUGGACACGGGGGCGCCGAGCGCGGCGACGGCGGGGCACGUGUAGAGGAGCCCGCAUAUGGAGGAGGAGGAGGAGGUGUCGCAGAGGGUGGCGUUGAGGGUGGGGGUAGGGAAGCAGUCGAGGAGGGCGAAGACGUUGCGGGCGUCGGCGAAGGCGAAGGGGGCGUCCCAGUCGAGGGAGAAGCCGCGGGAGGGGUUGGUGGCGGAGCAGGUGGACAUGGAGGGGUCGGAGACGUAGAGGAUUUGGUUGGCGUAGUCGACGGCGUCGACGGGGUAGGAGCCGGAGCGGGUGGUGAAGGUGAGCUGGUCCUGGUGGCCGCCGCCGGCGCAGGCGACGUGGGCGGACGAAGAGGAGGCGGCGCCGAGCAGGACAAGGAGGAGGAAUUUGGUGAGAGAGGGUGGAGCCAUGGCAGUGUUUCUUUUUUGCAUGGGGGGGUGACGAGAGGGAUAUAUAUGCAUAUGAAGGGGAAGGGGAAGGGGAAGGGGACAGGGGAGUAUGUUAUAUGUAUGUGCUUGUGUAAUAGUUUGAUGUGCAUUUGUUUGCUAUUUUUCUCUACGUGCUAAAAUACAGGAACUUUUUUAGAAAAACUUCAAAAUAUUACUCUUGUAGUUUAGCAUUCCUCCCCUUUACUAUUUUAUGAUUUAAAGUGUGUCAUUUUAGUACUUGUGAUUUUAAUUUUCUCUUUCCAUCAACACAUUAACUCUUUAUUAAAAUAUGUAUAAAAUAGUUCAGAAAUUCUUACCAAAUAUUAACUUUAAUACUUUGUAAUUUACGAAAUUUUUACUUUACUAUCCUAUAAUUUUAACUUUCUCACUAAUUUAAAGAAAAAAAUAAACAUAGAGGAUAAAAACAAAACAACAUAGUACUAAUUAAAAUAAUACAAUUUAAACCACAGGAUAACAAAGAAAGAAACUACUAAACCACAAGGAUGGUAUUUGAAAUUUUUGCAUACUCCCCUUCCCCUUCCCUAUGUAAUAUAUACAUUUGAAGUAUGUUCUUUUUGCAUGUGGUUUAUCAAAUAUUCACUUUAAUACUCUGUAAUUUACGAAAUUUUUAUUUAUUAUCCUAUAAUUUUAACUUUCUCGCUAAUUUAAGAAAAAAAUUAACAGAGUGGAUAAAAACAAAACAGCAUAGUACUAAUUAAAGUAAUACAGUUUAAACCACAGGAUAACAAANGAUUUUUUAAUAUAUUUUUGUUAUUUAUUAGAAUAUUAAUUUUUGGUAUAAAUUAUAAGAAAUGUAUAUAAUAGUAACAUAAUUAUGAAGAGGGGGGGAGCUAAAUGUAUUAUUUUAAAAUUUUGAGGGAAUAAAAUAUAAAAUUUUGAAAGUGAGAGAGAAAAAGUAAGAGAAUGUGAGAGAAUGUGAGGUAUUCAUGGAUGGAUUUUUAUUUUUUAGGCUAAAUUACGUAAAAUCUUUCUGUCAAAAUUUGAUUUUUUACUUUUUCUCCAUGUCAUUUAAAAAACCUACACUUUGUCCCCUUGUAAAAUGAAAAAUAUUUAUAGGAGGAUACGGUGUGGACUGUGAUGAUAAAAUGACCAUUUUGCCCCUUACCAUUUUCGUCUUCUCUCUCAUCUUCCUCAACAUCAGUCUCGAUCGGCAGCGGUUCAAGCCUCGAUCGGCCGCGAUUUCUCUGCGGUUCACGCAUCAUCUUCCUCCUGCAUCCUCGCCGCCCCUCGAUUUCGGCGACAGUAGGGUGGAAAUCGAGGUGGGGGUGGAUGGAGAGGUGGGUAAUGAUAAUGAGGGCGAAGGCGAGGCGGCGGAGGAGGGCGAAGGGGUAUUUGUGGAUACGGACGGGAAUGUGGGCAAGGGCGAGACAGUAGAGGAGGGCGAGGCGGAGAAAGGCGAAGCAACAGGAAAAAAAAGCAGAGGGGCAUUUUGGACAUAAAAAAAUAUUUUAUAACGGAACCCUAACGGAUCACUAACGGUUGGAGCAAAGUGCACCUUUUUUAUUUUACAAGAGGGCAAAAUGUAGAUUUUUAAAAGACGGGAUGGAUAGUGAAAAAUUACGUUUUGAUGGAUUUUUUUUAUAAUUUAGCCUAUUUUUUAAGCCAUUAUUCUAGCUCUUUACCGAAGAGCUAGUUAAUUAGCUAGUUAUCUGCACCACAGAUAUGAAGAAUUUUUUUUUUACGAUCUCUGGAAACUAAAGGAGGUUGAGGCUAAAUCUGAUAUUAUAUAAUCAAAAAAUAGUUAAAUAGAAAACAAUCAAAAAAUUUAUCUUACUAAUAAAAUUAUAUAUAAUACGUUCUCUAAUUGUCGAUCAAGGCGUUACUCAAAAUAUAUAUAUAUGUACGCGCGGAAAUUGCACACAAAUGCACACAAAUCGUAACGGUGAGAUCUGUACCAUUAAUUAAUUAAUUAUUCGUGUCAAAACAUGUUGCACCCACAUGCAUGCAAAUUAGUGGUCACCUCCCCUAGAACAGCACGUUUAUUAAAGCCAAUCAUAGCCUAUAUAUAUAUUCCUACUCCCGUGUUCGUAGUCCCGUCCCCUCCUCCUCCUCUCUCUCUCUCUCUCUCUCUCGUUUUAAGAUUGUUAAAAUUAUAUACGUGAGUUGUUGAUGAUUUUUUGGUUAUAAGAAUUGUAUAUAGGUAGCCGUGGAAAUAGAGAUAUAAUUUUUUUUUUUUUUGAGAUUAGUAAACAAAAAGUCCGGGGAAUCUAUUCCUCUCUUGUUCCUCUCCUAUGUUUGGUAUGAAUUGAAAAAGACUUUUAUUAUUGUUUUCUAAAUUUUAUUUUAAAAUAAAUGUAGAUUCGAUAAGUCAAAUUGACUUACGGAGAGUUCUAGUCUAACCCAGACCUAUAUAUGGUUUAAAGAUGUGCUGUAUCUAAUAAAGUUCAUCCCAUCUAAAGUGUAUAUAAAUAAUUUACUCCCUGAUUAAUUAUUCAGCGUGAGUAGCAAUUCGUAUAUGAAAUCCUAGCAAACAAAAUCCACGAAAAUAGCAAAAUGAAAUCUACACUCUUUGAUUUCUAGAGGGAUAUAAUAUUCAUUAAUUUCAACUGCUUGAUGAAACCUCACAAGCCAAAGUUUUAAAAACUAAUCAUUAAUGGCUGUUUUAGUGGUUUCACUAACAUGGAAUUAGUCUACUAAACCCGGUCUUAAGCCCUUUGAAGCUCGCGAGAUAGUGUUUACAGUACCGUCAUUUUUGCGGUAUGGAUGCAUAGCCCAUCUGAUCUCCGCUACGCGCACAUAAGCAGAUAUGUUAAGACUAUUCCGAGACAAUUUUCUAUCAGAUUAAUUUGGAAUUAUCUUUUAGCGAAACUAGUGAGAUUAGAUGAUAACUAAUCUUUCUCUUAAAUGUCUUUGGAAUUCAAUAAAAACCAUCACACCAAGCCAAACUUCUUUGAUCUACUCAAGAACACACCUUGCAACUCUUCCUGCAGUAACCCUGAGACUCCUCAGUGCCUACCAUGUACUCAGGAUUCUUCUCACACUCGCCUUUCGCGGCCCAUCGCGCGCAGGACUCGUUCUCAUCUUCGCAUUCCUUGCUCCGUCUACUCGACGAGAGAAAACUGAAGGGUGUCAAAUGGAUCCAUUUCGUCGCAGUCCACUUCUCCCCUGCUAUUACUGGGCAGCUCCCAUGCAUACUUGAUCCAUCCAAAGUGCCGUUCGGAUGCAGGCUGAAGAACAACACGGCAUCGCCUUUCUUCGGUUUCACUGAAAUAAGCUCAUCAAACACUAUCUCAAUACGAUUUCAAAAUAAAAGUUUCUGAACUUCGAUGAACUUAAACAAGUUAUUUAGUACUGGAAAAGUUUUAACACAGUUGCAUUCUUCGUGGUUUAGUGGUUGGUAAUAGAAUUUGCUCGUAAAUUCUUUACCUGAAAAACCUGUUGAAGCACAGAAAGCGAGAGAAUCACCUUUCCUUUGUCGAUUCGCCUGCAACAAAAUGCGCGGAAAAUGGUUUAGAUGAAGAUGAUAGCUUGAUUAGUUCUUUACUAGAAGAUCGCCUUCUGUACCGCUGCUUUCGUGAAGACUGUCUCCCCGCCUUGUGCAACAUUAGCUAGGUACAUGAGUACUGUCGCGACUCGAUUUCCCUUUUUGUUCCCUUUUACAUCUUUAAAGUAAUCGACGUGCGGCACAAACAGUUGGCCCUUCUCGUAACGGAGUAUUUGUAUGGCCUCGCCGUUCUCUAGCGCGGGGAGUAUAAAGGUUUUGUUAUCAAGCAACAAAACAAUUACAAACUUGUUUAAUUGAAUACAUGCUGUAGUAAAUUUACCUACUGGGAGGAAGGUCCAAGCAGCGACUCUGCUCUCAACUCGACGAACAAUUUCAUCCUUGGAAAUGCAGAGGAAAAUGAUGAUAGUCUACACCUUAGACAUGGUAAAUUCGCAAGCUACUUGCUGCUCUUGAUAAUCACAUUAUAAAAUGGCUCAUCGACGUGGCGAAGAACACGAAAUACAGGAUUGAAUGAUGAGAGAUUAUGGAUUCACUAGCAGAUGCUUUAUAUAUCCAGCUGACGAAAUCGAUGUUUUGGUUACGAGAUCAGUGCAUUAGGCAUUCUAAAGGGCGCAGAACAUGAAUGAUAUACCGGCAUUUGGUUAGCCGAUAACAACCAUGUUCGCGAUGAGAAAUAGCACGAGCGCCAUCUAAGUGUAUCUUUGGCGACCAAUGAAAACACUAUUUGCUUACAGCAAAGGAAAAAACAACCAAAAUGAUGUAAACAAUGGAUCAUAAUGACAUCGGAGAAAUUGAGCUAGUAAUUUACCUGACCUGGCUUUAGGAACAUGUCCCAACUAGUUCGCGCGGUGCUAAGCUUGCUCUCACCACCGUAGCCCUCUAUGACUGUAGAUUUUUUAAGCUUACCCUUCGACUGCUCUCGGAAAGCAAACAUAACACAAUCGAAAGUGAAAUUCAAAAUAAGAUAAAGAAUAAUUUCAAAGGGGUCUUAGUUCUUUCAAAUGGCGAUUUAAGAGGGUGUAAUUUGCUGAUGCAUGGUAGUAGUAAAAUGGUAAUAUUACUACAUAGAUUUUCCUGAGAUAUCUAGUAUAAAUAGUUGGGUAGUUUGUGGGUAUGCUGAUAUGUAAUCAUUGAAAUCUUAUGAAAAAUUUAGCAAUAUAAAAGGGAACUUUUCUACCAGGGAGAUGAGGUGAUCGCAUUCCUCGUCGGAGAGAAAGCCCUCAUAGAGAAAAAUCCUGCACCAAAAUGGCAAAUGAAUUAUCAACUUACAUAAAGUGCGAAACGAAAAAAUGCGUGGAGAGGGUUAAAUUAGGUGAUCUUUUAGUUGUUAAACUUUCCAAUUUAAGUUCUGAAGUAAGCCUACAAUAUGAAUUACGCAAAUCGGAAGCCCAAGCUUAAGAUUUCUUCUUUUUUUUUCUUUUUGACUGUAAGAUGCAAGGUGAUUUCAUAUGUCAUUCAUGUAAUCAAUCCAAAUUAGCCCGAAAGAGAUAUAGAUCGAUAGUAGAUAGAUAGAUACAGAAUAAAUCUUCUAAGUAAUACAGCUUAAUUUCAACCAAAAUAGGAUUACUUUUUGCAUAUCCGGGGUCAUCUUUAUUCUUUUGAUUCUGAGCAUAAGCUUUUCUUUUUUUGAUAAUACUGUAAAAAUGCCUUUUGCCAGAGUAUAAGAAAAAAGAUACAGAGGUAUGAUGGAAAAAAGGUUUGUAAUGCAAGUUUUUGCUUACAAAUUACAAACAAUUAGCAAAUAAGGCUUUUGCUUGGCCUAUUUACUGGGAGAUUUUUUAGCUAUGUUCUAUGUACCACCAAUCGACACUUUCGUCAAAAUCUAUUGAAAUAUAUUGAAUGCCAAUUUAGUUUUUAGCUGAGCCUUUUAACUGAUGGUUUUGUCAAUUUUGCGGCAAAAUACGGAAGCAAAUGAACAAUCAAACUUAUCUAACCUUGGUUGCCAUGAGAGUUGGGUGAUAGAUCUUGGAUCUAUGACAUUGUUAUCCCUUCUUUCACCAAUGCCAAUCCUAAAGGUAAUUGAAUAUCCACAGAUAAAGAAGAUAAAGUGUUAAAGAUGUAUAUUAUAAAAGAGCAACACAAAGAGAGGUAUUGUAACAUACACCAAAUUGACUCCUAUUCCUUCAAACAGUUUAAGCCUGAGAGGAGUUGGUGGCAGAGAGAAGAACAGAAGGAAGAGAAAGAUGGAAGGGAGAAGAGAAAGUUUGAAACCCAUUUUUGAUUAAUUAGAAGAGGAGGGUACAUCACAAAGGAGACAAUUAAGUUUUAUUUUUUUUUUUCUACAUUAUCUUCCUAAUUAAUGCCAUUUAGAAGGUUAAAGAGCUACUAGGAGGUUUUAAAUGAGUUCCUUUAAUUCUUUAAUUGUGGUAUCAUUAACUCCAUCAAUAAAAGCAAACAGGAAAUUUCUUAUAUGAAAAGUUGAUGCUGUAUUCUUAGUUUUAUAUUUUCAACAUAUGAUUCUGCAUGUGAGUAUUUUGUAUGUGGAAAUUGAAUUGCACAUUGGCCCAAGUCACACACAUUCUUAUGAUUGCUUAUUUCUUCUGGAAUCUUAAGAUUGAGACAUUAUUUUUAAGAAAAAGGGACCUGCUGUUGACUCCAUUGUGAAUAUGUUUUCAGACACAUUAAUGCUACUGUAUAUCAACUCCCUCUGUCUUACUAAGUUCUUGGUUAGUUUGUUAGUCAGUUUCAAAGGCAGCAACAAUUAACAUUCCAUUGGUUCAAAUUGCUGGAAAUGUGUGGGAACAAUAAGAACUCUUCCACAUUAGCAGCAAAAAGAACCACAAGAAACCUCAUGCAUGACACAAUAUGCGAAGAUCAGAUGAAACAGGGUUUUUUUUUUUUUUUUCUACCAGUGCCCGGUAUGGAUUGGAGACAUUUAACUGUAAAAUCGAUGGUUACCAUUUGUUUUAACGCUGCAAAUUGUUCUGCAAAUUAACUCAGGUUUUAUUGUUGCUAGAUACAAGUGACGCGGCGGAACAAAAAGCUUAGCCAGCUCCUGCAAUGGAACUGUACAUAUUCCUGGUAAACAAUAUAACAAAAUAUCUCUCUUUUUCUGAGAAAAACAUUUAAGAGUUUUAUCAAAACAACCUGCUUAUGGCUAACGAAAGAUUCGUCUUUCACCGACCAAUUUGUAGAGAACAAAGGAAGCAACAAACCAGAAGUUGACCACAUUAGUAGUUUUCCGUUUUCAAGAAAGCAAUCAAACUUAACAUGAAUGUUCGAGAAAGAUAACAACAUUUGAUUUGUAACAACUCUUCAAAUCAUAUAAUGCUUCCUUUUAACCUAACCCUUCCAAGGAGAUUGAUGAAGAAAGGAUAUACUAUAAGCAUCAGAAGAUCAUGCUUAUCAGGUGUCAGAGCCGUCUGCACUAUCAUCGCAUGGAAUUCUUGACUGGAUAAUAACUCGGGCUCCCGACAUAAGCCUGCAGGAGAAAAGAACGAAUGGCAACACCCUAUCAAGAUGUGUACACUGUAUUAAAAUAUAACAAAAGUGUUUAUUAGGCCUAGCAUCUAAAACAGCUUCUUUACUCCAAAAAGUUGAAGAUACAAGUAAUCAGCCACCUGGCUCUUGAAGAACCAAGAACUUUUGCUGUAGCUAAAAUGAUCUUUUGGAUUCGAAAAGCAGACUCAAAUUUGAAAUAUAUGCUUCUGGUACAGCACGAAGUUGGUUAGGAGAUUCAACAAAGUGUUGUUAGUACUUCUUCGAACAUCUCUGCUUAAACAACAAUUCUUUGAAGCCAAAGAAUGGACUUAACUUUCCUCGAUCCUGAUAAGCUUCUCCUUUUCUUCUUUCAAGGAUUCUAACCUCAUGGAUGAUCCAUGAACGGAGGCAGCAUGAGUGAUACUUCUGCUGCUUUCUCCUAUUGAGGAGCGGUCACACUCGGGCCCAACAGACGAGCACCUCGGGCAAUCGGAAAUAGGAGAAGUAAUUUUUUCAUUUUUGGGCUGCUUUGGAGGUGUAAGUUUGAUAGCUCGAGGGAGGCAUCUUGUAACUGAUGUGUCCUCAAUCUCUUCCCCGUGCCUUCUGGACUCCAAUUUGCACUUCCUGCACUUUCUGUAUGUAUUAACUGUUAAUAUGUAACAGAGCACCUCAAAGAAGUUUAAAAAGAUAGAGAACAUGGCAAUAGGAGUGACACAGUAAAUAAGAGAUCUGUAAAGGACACACAAAAAGGAAGAAACACUGAAGAACAACUUCAGCAUAAUAAAUGAUUAUCCUUUAAAUGAUGCUUAGGAGAAUACUAGCGUCGGCACUUAUCAGUACAAUCGUGGCAAGCAUUUAGUUAAUUGCAUUAUUCUCUAAAUUAGAACAUGGGCACUUCAUGAACCAACUCGAUUUACGCUCAUAACGAUGAAGCAUCCAAAUCUGCAUAAAUUGCAAUCAUAGUAGAGCUACGUGAGGAAGCACGAAUAGCUUUCUCAUUAGAAUUUUACUGCAGCUUCCCACUGCAGAACAAGCAGAAGUUUUAAACUGAAGCUUCUGUUUGUUACCCAAAAGUUCAUUUUAGCUUCUACCACAGCAAAAUUUCCAGCCUAGUUAUCAACCAAACACCCAGUUUCUGAAUGCUUGUGCCUUCCAGAUUAGAGAAGCCAUUCUCAAAACCAGGCAGAACUAGCAAAAAAUUACAGUGUUAUGUGGUACUACAUAUUCAGAUAGGCAAAGAGUAAGACCUUACUGAGUGAGCGGCAAAUGUAGGACGUAAUAUGAUAUAAAGACGAGGCUCACCUUUCGGCAUUGUAGGAGGAAGAUCGUUUCAGAACGGGCAUCCUUUCCCCUAUAUCCUCCCGAUGCUUCUUAGUUUCAAUCAAGCUACCACUAAAAUACUCCUUAUCUUCCAAUUUCAAUCCCAUUAAUCUUGGAUCUUUCGAAAGGCAAUCAAGCUCUCCAAGCAUACUCGAGCGAGCAAAUACCGAUGAUUGGAACUUCAUGUGCGAGAAACUUGGCUGGUAAUUUGAGACGAUACCAUAGCUUUCGUGAUCCUUCACGGUGAAAGACCCGCAAGUGAUCAGCUGCAUUAAGAUAUUACCAGGCUUCAUCUUUGGCCCGGUGGGAAUUAGCACUUCCUCCUCUUUGAGUCUUCUAAAGAUGUUCUUGUUUCUAGCAUCCGCCCUAAGCAAAGACUCUAAAGUCUCUGACCUGCUACCAUUCGAAAGUCGAGCAUGAUUAUUGAUAGAAUCAAGAGUCGUCGAGCCAUUGUCAGUAGAAACAACCGUAGUGAGAUUCUCGUUCUCCUUAUCGUGGUGAUCACUUUUUUUAUUUUCGUCAUCAGUUUGAGUUGCUGCGUCCGAAGAACCAAUUGGCCUGUAUACUCUAUACUCCGCCGAACCCGAAGAGACGUACUCUUGAGACGACACUUCUUCUUCUUCUUCUUCCUCCUCUUUUUCAUCUUCUUGAGGAGAAGGCGGAGGGUUGGAUUCUCUAACGACAACAGUAGGAGGAGAGGAGGAAGCAAAAGGAGCUUCUUUGGAUCUAGAAAAUUUGGGUGAUUCUUGCUGGGGGGGUUGCUUUGGGUUUUUCAGUUUUGGGUUCCCGUUGUUUGGAUGAAUCCGAUCUAAACGAACAUGAAACGAAAGAAAACACAUUUGGAUUGUUUAGCUCCAAACCUCUCUUCCUUAUUACUAUCAACAUUGAAUCAAAGGGAACAACACAUGUUACUUUACACAAUUUUUGGAUUACCUGAAGAGGGUUGAUCUAAGAGUUCAGAACCUUUGAGAACAUACUCAUCUCCGUUGGCGGGGAGGACGAGAUCGUCGUGGGAGAGAUCGUGCCACACGAAUCCGUUCUUGUAGCUCCUGCAUUGAUCAAAUUCAUCGUUUUCACACCCAAAACACCAUAAAAAAGGGAUUUUUAUCAUUUGGGCGCUCUCCAUUUUACCUCUUGCACGACCACGAAUACAUGGUGGGCAUUCCCUUUCCCCUCACCAAAUUAAGGCGAUUAAUCACAUCUAAAAAAACCAAAAACAAAAAAAAAAAAAAAACAAUCGAGAUAACAAGACAACAAUCUCUAAUCCGCAUUUCAAAACUAUGAAGAGCCAAACAAUUCGAUCCCCACAAACCUCUGAGAUACAACCCUUCAGGGGAGGAGAGGGGCACCUCAAUGAAAUGCGGGUGCUCGAUGCGUCGAUUCCGACACAAGUAAUACACAACGGGGAUCUUCUUCUUCUUCUUCUUCUUCUUCUUCUCCUCCUCCUCCUCCUCGGGCGCUUCCAUUUCCCGUCUCAAAAAUCUCAAAACCCUGAUGCAAUGGGACGAGGAAUGGCGAAUAAGGGUGGAGAGAGGAAGCAGAGUGUUGUAGUACUGCUACUGCCACUGCUACUGCUGCUGCUGCUGCUGCUACUACUUUGCCGUGGAAAAAGGGGAAUUAGAAGGAGUAUAUUAAAUUAAAUUCAAUUGAUUGAGGGGGGAGUGGGGAGUGGGGGGGAGGAGAGUACGGUUUCGUUGGAGGGAGUGGGGGAAGCAUUGAAUUGCUGCUUACGGGCAAAGGGAGAAAGAGAAGGAGGUGGGUGGGAGUGGAUCGAGAAUGCCACAAAACAUUGCCUGCACCGGAUGUUUAUAAGUACGUCUCCAGACUCCAAUACACAAAAAAAGUCUAAAAUAGAUCAGUUAUAUUGCUGGUAAGAUAUUCCUAAUCAAUCAAAUUAUUUCUCUCGUAUUCGCCCAUCCAAUCAUGAUUAUUAAAAAAAAAAACUUUUAUUAUACUUCCCUUUCGAAAAGAGAGAUAUGAUUUGCUAAUUAUUGAUGAUAUAGUAUAAAUUUUAUAUGGUAGAUGUAUCUCUAGGCAUAUUAAGUGAGCCAACUUAGCUAUACGCCCGGUGCUUAUGGCCUUCAUUUUUUUCCCAUCAGCCAUGCCAGCUCAGUUGACUUGUGUUUUUUUUUUCAAUUGUAUUUUUUUUUCUCAGUUGUAAUCCUAUUUCUCAGUUGUAAUUCUAUUUUUCCGAGGCCAAGAGUCAAGUCCUGUAGCUAAAUUCAUCUGCUAAAUGAAUGAAGCGGGUAGCGUGCUAUCUUUCUCUCAAAAAAUAAAAUAAAAUAAAAUAAAAUAUUUUUUGUAUAUGCCAAUUUACAGGAUUUAUCGUGUGUCAUUUUCUCAAUUCUUGAUCGUUAGCAGUUUGCGAAUUUAUGCAUCAGGACGGUUUAGCUGGCUUAACAUGUGGGUGACCGACAAACACUUUUUGUCAAAAAAGUAUUAGCCGUGUAACAAGUGCAAACUAUACAAUGAAAAAAGUGAGUGUAAAUUUUAUACUCUAUCAAUCCAACGGCUAAUAUAUAUUUUUAAUAUUAAAAAUUGAAAAGAGUGUUCAAUUAGAAAGAUAAAGACUUUAAAACAAAAUUCUAUGGUGAAUUGUUUAAAAAGAAAAAGGUGAAUUGUUUUUAUCUUUCCUUGACUUCUAAAUUAUUUUAAAAAUAUCUUAGAAGUAAACUAACUAAUCAUAAUAAUAAGAAAUUUGUAUUUAUACAAGUUUAUCAAGAAUUAAUAUUUAAAACAAAAAAAAUUAAAGGCAACGAUGCCUGACUUGGCCUAAAAUAAACUUCAAUUUUUCCGUGUUGGUUUAGUGCAUUUUUAUUUUAUCAUUUUAUGAUUUCAAAAUUGUAUUUAAAUACUUUGUGAUUUUAUUUUUAUUUUACAGUACGUAUCUAGCAUUUCAAAAUAUGGUAAAAUAAUAUUUUUUUUUGCAAACAACAAGAUAGUACAAAUAGUACUUUAUUAUUCUUUAAUCUACACUUUUAUCAUUUGUUAUUUGCAAUAUUAUCCUAUUUUUUAACACUAAAUCCUUCCAGUAAACUAAAAAUAAAACCUCAGAGUUAUUAAAUAAAAUUUAUUUAAGGCAUAGGAUGGCAAAGUGAAUAUGCGCUAAACUACAAAAAAAAAAAAAAAAAAAAAAAAAAAAAAAAAAAAAAAAAAAAAAAAAAAAAAAAAAAAAAAUUGAAAGCUUAUCCAAAAUUUAAAUCGAUGAUGUGCCCAAAAAAAUUCAAAAGGGCUGCAUAUAAAAGGAAAAAAAAAAACUAAAUUUUGGACAUUAAUUUCUUGCAAAUUGAACCAUAAUCAUUUUUUUUUAAUUGUCGAUUAUUGAGACUAUUUGACACUUUAAUAAUAUAUUAUUUAGUGGAAGACCUUUUAAUAUAUGACACGAAGUGUAUCUACCUAAUUGAUUUUAUAAAAAACUUCAAAUAUCAUUUCUGUUUUUUCGUAUUUUUUUUAUUUUAGUACUAUAUGGUUUAAAGUGUAUCAAUUUAGUAUCCCGUGGUUUCGUUUUUCUCUUUUUAUUAUUCCAUUUAUUAUUUUUUUUUUUGCUAAAUCAGUGACAAAGUUAAAAGUAAAAUGUACUAAAGUGAAUAUUCGAUAAACCUAGAUGGGGUAUCUGAAGUUUUUUUAUAUAUAAUUUAACAAAAUAUUAACGAAAAAGCUGUCGAAAAGAAAAAAAUAAAAUUGAUAUACUUUAACCACAGAAUAUUAAAAUGAGAAAAUAUGAAACCAUGGCUGUGGUAUUUGAAGUUUACCCUUGAUUUUAAUUAAUUUUGAGACACUCACACCUAUCAUGCAAAAUUAAGUGUGGUGCAUGAGGUGUACGGAUACACCGGGUGCAGGAAAUAAUUUUCCCUGCAAUAGGGAGGAGGAGCAGCGCGAGAUCGUGGCGUUUGCGCGCUUUCCACGCUACAUUAAAGGGGCCUGCAAAAAGAUGGUAAUAAGGUAAAAAUGCACAGGGACUCCCUCAACUAUAACAAAUUCUCUAACAACUCCCUCAACUAUAAAUUUUUGGGAAAACUUCAAAACCCUCCCCUGUGGUUUCGUAGUUUCUCACUUUGCCCCCCUGUGAUUUAAAAUGUAUCAAUUUGCUCCCCUGUGGUUUCUUUUUUCUCUUUUUCUUAUCAAUUUCAUUAUUUUUUUUUCUUAAAUCAGUGAUAAAGUUAAAAUUAAAGGGUACUAAAGUGAAUAUUUGAUAAAUCUAGAUUGGUAUCUGAAGUUUUUUUGUAUAUAAUUUAAUGAAAUAUUAACGAAAAAGCUACCGAAAAGAUAAAAACGAAACCACAGGGGGGGCAAAUUGAUACACUUUAAACCACAGGGGGGCAAAGUAAGAAACUACGAAACCACAGGAGGGUUUUUGAAGUUUUUCCUAAAUUUUUUUUAAAAAUUGAGAUUUUUUUUUUUUGGAAUUGACUGAAUUUAACCAAAUAAAAUUGUAUAUUAAAAAUUAAUUAAUACUAUUAUAGAGAGAGAGAGAGAGAGAGAGAGAAUAAGACUAGGUUGAAUCAAUUUCUAAUAGAUAAUUAAGCCAUAAAAAUAUGCCAAUUAAAAAAAAAAUUAAGGUUGAGGGGUCCAUUUGAGAAUAGUUGAGGGGGUUUCCAGACAUAUUUACGUACCUUUAAAAUAUCGGUGCGUUCCGUACGAGUAGUUAUAUGCGUGUAAAGGAGGAGAAGAGGAUGAAGACACGGAGGAGACACAGUUUCCGUUACAGUAAAGUAGUCGACAACGACUGGAGAUUGCGUAGAAUUACGAGGACUUCAAUUUAAUGAUAAAAAAAUUUUAAAAAAAAUAAUAUUAUUACUAUACAUAUAUAUUUAUAUAUAUUUCAUAUCAAAAUAUAUUUCGUAGAAAACCCCGCCAAGGAACACUAUAGUUUGGUUUUAAAUUUGUCUCUUUUAAUUUUAAUAAUUGACUCACUAAACAUUAUCAAACAAUUAAACAUUUUUUUUUCUCAACUAAAUUGCUAAUGAUAUUGUAGUUUAUAUUGCACAUCUUGCAAAAUAAUUUUGUGUGAUUUUAAAAUGUAAGAUUUUUUUUUUUUUUGAGAAUAGGUAGUUUGCUAUCUAUUAUUAUAUUCAUAAAACACAUAAACUGAGCCACGGAGCUGAGGCGACUAGACCUCAAGAGCGAAAAUGCUACUACGAAACUCGGUUUUCUUCCCAAAUCUUCCUUAGCCAUCUAAUAUCUUGCGACAGUUGUCUUGUAUCUACUCUCUGCCUGCGGAAGAUCCUUUGGUUUCGCUCGAGCCAUAGGAUCCACCAUGUAGCAGCAACUGUUGGUAGCUCCUUCCUCAUUAUUCACCCCACCUUUGCUCAGGAUGUCUACUGAGGAUUGUCCAUAGUAAGUGUGAGAUGUGUCUAGAAGAAAUUAUGAAUAAAAAUUUAAAGACCAAAAGCUCUAAUAAUAAUAAUAACUAUACUUAAACAUUUUGUGUCGGUAGUUUGGGCUCGACAAGUUAUUAGUACUAAUGGAUUGGGACACUACACAGAUUUGACUAAGAACUUCUAUAAAGAGAUCCAUCUCUAUUUAAUUGCUACAUAUUUGACUAAGAACUUUUGUAAAGAAAUCCACCUCCAUUUGAUCUAGUCCUAUCGAUAGUUCCCACUAUUAAUUAGUCGGUACACAGUUUGCAAGAAAUGCUUUGAAUUCUUAGACCAUAUCUCUCUCCGGCUCGAAUGUAGGAAAAAAAUCUUGUCAAUAUCAAGUUCCAAUUCCACCCUCUUUUUUAUGGUUUCGAACCAAUAAGUUAUUAGUGCUAACGGAUUGGGUUACUAUACAUUUGACUAAGAACUUUUGUAAAGAGAUCCAUCUCCAUUUGAUAUCGCCCUAUCUAUUGUUCUCACUAUUGGUCGCUACACAGCUUGCAAGAAAAGCUUUGAAUUUCUAAACCAUAUCUCUCUCCCACAUUUCUACAGACGGCCUUCCAUUGCAUUAGGCAGUGUCCCUCACUAAGAGUUACGUCUCUCUUCUCGAAGAAUGCUCUUCUCAAGGCUUCAAUAGAUUGUAUAUAUGGCCCAUCUCAUAGCCUUGUACAGUGAGAAGUAAUCGAGGGGUAGGUUUGAAAGCACCUAUCUUCCAUUUUUGUUGCUUCUUUUACAGGUUACAAUAAAAGAUUUUUCUUUUUGUGUGUGUUUUAAAGUUUUACAAGAUUGUAUGCUAGACCUAUAUCCAAAAAGACUAUUUAUUUAGUAACUUCAGUUGAAGAGAGAGGGCUUGAAGUAUUAAUAAAGUUUACGGCGUCUAAUUUCUAAAAUUGAAUUUUUAUGAGUUUGUUUAAAAAGCGCGUCAGUUUAGAGGGUUUUUGUUCGGUUUUUUCCUUUAUUAUUUAGGCAUCAAUGUUUAUAAAUUACGAUGAAAUCGUCACUUCUUUAAUUGCCAUCAACUUUUAGCUGAUAAAUCAAUGAAAUUUUAUUGAAGAUAAAAUGUAAACAAUAAACUUUUAAUAGUAGGUUAGACAUUUUAAAAAUAAUUGAUUAUUUUACAUGGUAUUAAAGCAGUAGAUUCUAAAAUUAAACAGGCUUCUAAAUUACAUCCACUGUAACCUCUAAUCUGAGGACUGUGAAGUAGAUGGAAAAUAGGUCCCGCACAAACUGUAGGAGAAAUUCUAAGCUUAGAAGAGCAUAAAUUAAAAUGCACUUGGACUAAUUUCGAGCUUAAAAUCAUCAAAUAGAUUGCGACAUGCUCCAAAAGUAGACAUGAACCAAAGAAAUUGAAGUCAAAGCCAAACAAUUGGUGAGUACAUAUCCAUAAAUUGACAUAAAAUUUAUCCGGAAUAAUAUUAACACCUUCAUUUACCAGCAUAGUGAAAUUAACAUAAGCGCAGCCCAUGACUAUCUAAUGUUGAAAUUGAACUCACCAAACACAACCUAUCAAUUAUCAAACUCUGAAAUUGAAACCACGAUCUCACAGAACUUAAAAUGGCUGAUAUCUAAAAGGACUCAUUACCGGCUAGCCUACCAUGUUGCCUAUGAAAUUGUUUAUUAGUUGAAUCAAAUUCGGAUUCUCCUUUGUAAUCAUAAUAUCUUCUGUUCACAAGGCUAUUUAUAUCAUAUUGUAAAAAGAAUAAUCAAAGAGCUUUUCUAUAUUAUGCUGCAUAGUCAGCUUUCCAGCUUCAUCAUCAAUCAAUGAGUUACCACAUACCCUUUUUUCUUUGGAGAACGAUGGGAUGCUCCUAUUUCUUUUAUUUUUUUUAAAAAAAAUAAAUUUAGUUGAAAAUAUGAAACAAUUAAAUUCCAAAUUUAAUACCUCGAGUAUUGGUCAUCAAGCCCUUCGUCACUUAUCUCAUUAAGUAAACAAAAGAGAUGCCAAAGACAUGCACUGAAACAAAUCCUAAUAAAUAAAGGGGAUAAUUACCUGCAUACUCCUUAAUUAAAGACUUUUAUGUUCACUCCUAAAAGUGAUAAAAUCAACCCCUCUAGGAUGCGUUUGGUUUGAAGUCGGAAUCAGAAUUAGAAUCGGAAUCAAAAUAAGCUGGAAUCGGAAUCGCUAAUUUUGUUUGGUUCGUUACCUGAAUCGGAAUCGAAAUAAAUCAUUCUUAUUGUCGGUGUUUGGUUUAGGUAGAUAUAAAAAACGUAAUCAAAUUAAUAUACUAACUUUAUCUUUACAAUAUAUUAAUUUAAAUUCAAAUUGAAAAUUAAAUAUUAAAAAUUUACAUCAAAAUUUUGAAAUAAUGUCAAAAUUUUAAAUUUUUUUUUUAAAAAAAAUUAAACUUUGAAGUUGAGUGGAUAAUUCAAAAUAUAAAACUAAAUUUCGAUUUAUUCAAAUUCAAACUUAAAAUUACAAUUUAACUUAAAAUUACAGUUUUAAAUAAAAUUUGAAUAAAACUUUAUAUAAAUUAAAAUUUAAUUUAAAUUCAAAUUUAUAAGUUAGAUUCAAAAUACUUAAUUAAAUUUUAAUUUUUAAAUCAAAUUCAAAAUUCAAAUUUAAAAUUAUAAAUUUAAUUUUUAAAUUUAAACUCAUAUUUUAAUUAAAAAAAAUUAAAAAAAUAAAUUUAAUCCGAAUAAAUAUCUAUUUCGUCAUAAUUCAACUUUCAAUCCGGACUCCUAGGCCGGAUUGAAAAAAUAGAUGAUUGAAAAUUUUUCAUUCCACUCGGGAAUCAGAAUCGGAAGAUAACUCCCGCAUAUCAAACACGAAUUCAUCCAUUUCAAUUCCAAUUCUAUUGGUCGUUAUUUUUAUAUUUCUUUUCAGUUACUAUAC
RNAcentral lists this long non-coding RNA (61464 nucleotides) under Ananas comosus (pineapple). RNAcentral's name for it is "long non-coding RNA (ACOM_LNC011666)". The record is from RNAcentral. Lineage: Eukaryota; Viridiplantae; Streptophyta; Magnoliopsida; Poales; Bromeliaceae.